Molecule: long non-coding RNA, 84308 nt
Filed under: Sorghum bicolor (sorghum)
Lineage: Eukaryota; Viridiplantae; Streptophyta; Magnoliopsida; Poales; Poaceae
Description: long non-coding RNA (SBIC_LNC014027)
Rfam family: Plant small nucleolar RNA R71 (bases 14133-14239)
Source: RNAcentral
AUAUGCUAAUGAAUAAUGGGAUUGCUCUUCUCCAGGGGCCAGGGGGCCUGCUUAUAUAGUCCCCUCAAGUGAACGUGGGCCGUCGGAUCAAACCGACCUUAAUCGCAUGGUUUGCCUUGAUCCUUUAGGUCUGUGGAGCAUAAUCCGCGAGACGGGACCUGAUUGGUCUCUAUAGCAGGGCAGGCGCCCAAGGGGGGAGGAUGGGUGCCCUGCCCCCGGGCCCGCUCGGCCUCCCAUUCGUUCCCGUGGCUUCUGGACUCUUCUAGAUGAUAGAAAAUUGCGCGGUACGUUAAUAUCUCUAUCUAAACCCGACAUAUGGGCCUUUCCUCCAUAUUUCCUGAUAACCCCCUACAGAAAUAGACAAACACCAAAACUCAUGGUAUUCUGUCAGAUAAAACCCUAAGUCUGGGUGUUGGUUGCAUUUGGAUCCUUUUCUUUAUUUAUUUGAUGAUUAAAUUUGGUACUUAAGGACCGUCAACAACUCCCCCAAGCUUACCUCUUGCUCGUCCCUGAGCAAGGAUGGACUCAAGAGUUUUUGCAGUGGUUUCAUGCCUUAAAAGUACACAUGCGUUCAAGCAAGAUCUCAUCUCUGAGUUAGAGUAAACUGUUAAGACUUAAAACUUACUCAUUUUACCUUUCACCAUGGGGCUUGCAACCAUCACUUAUGUCUUGAGCAGUUAAAAGAUAGAACGGUCAAGUCAAGCGCCAUGUCUCUUGUUCUUUGAUUAACUAUAGCUCUAGAGUUUUUGCAGAUUUUCAAAUAAAACUCAGAGAUUCCUUGUAUGACUCUCUCAAAUCUCUCUUUUGUGGUAUUUCUGGAUCCUUUCCAAGGCAGUAAUGGUAUAUGCCUUCUCUCAAAGUAUGUGGUAUUUUUGGUAUGAGGCAUAGUAAUAUUGCCUUCUCUCUCACCCUACUCUAAUAAGGUUUUGAUAUCUGGAGCUCAUAGGUGGGAGAUAGAUAAUACAUACUUACAAGACAUUUAUUGCAUAGUUAAACCAUGGAUCCAGAAGAACAAGUCAAUAAGUCAAAUCAAGAUGUGCAUGUGUGGCGAAUGAAUGGUGUAUGGUGAUGAUGGUGAUAAUGGUGAAAACAAUGGUGAAAGUCUAAUUCUACUUUUGCUCUUUUAAGGGGAUACAUACCUUUCUUGCACUUUGAAGCUUUUUGAGGAGAAUGAGAUGCUCUAUAUUUUCUUUUUCUUUUCUCUCAGGUGGGUAUCUUGUACCCCUAAUUCUACUAUCGGACACUUGUCCAUUUUUACCUCUCGUCUCACUUUUUCUUUUCUUCGAGGUUCCGGGCACUUGCCCCUUUUUAUUUCCUCGUAUUCUUUCUCUCUCUUUUUUUCUUUUUUAGAGCACUCAUCUCCUGAAAUAAUAUAGCAAGUGGUAGUAACCAAGAUAACUCAAGCAUUUAUUUUACAGGAAAAAACAGAAAUAGGAGAAUGUUUUUGGCUAUUCUCUCCCGGAUUAGGAGUAGAAUACUUUUAGGUGGCUCUGAAGAUGCAAAUGAGUGGAUAUAUGUGGAUGCGUACUUCCGGAGUAGAAGCAGCAUGUGUGAGUGAACGUGCAAGUGAAUCUUGAUUUUUAACCGCAUGACAAGCUCCGAAGGGUCUACACAGCUUGACCACACUCAUGCUCAUAAGCAGUAAAAAGUAAAUGUCUGGCUCAAAGUCUAGCAAGCAUGUAUAUAUGGCUGUGGUAGGAAUUUAAACUCUCAUCAUACAGGAACUCAUCAUGUGUUAUUUUAAAGAUUUUCAAAGAUAAAAUUCUCCAGAAUUCUAGCAACUCUAGGAACAGAAAAACAACAACUCAACCUUUCCAUAUCAUAUCCAUUAACGACUUAGACUUUAGAUCAAGUACUCUUCCCACAAGUUUAGGUUUAGAGCAAGUUUAAAUUAUAACAGUUAUGCCUAAACUUGAGAGAGAGCUCAAACUUGAAAACUAGGUACAUGGCAGAGCAACUAUUUAUCAUAUCCAUGUAAGAGUUUAUCAUUUAUGUUCAGUUUGGCCUAGACACUUUAUUUAUUUAUUUAGCAAACAAAGCAAAGAUAUAUAUAAGCACAAAAUUUUUAUUUGAGCUUUUCAUGAUUAUGCAUCUUUUUAAUUAUUUGAGUAAAGUAUAAACGUGAGUAGAAACACUUAGCUGGAUAAAUGGGGGUGCUCUCCCCCAAGCUGGAUUUUGACGUAAUUUCUUCUCAUGUAGCUAGCAGGUGACAGAGGUGUAUUUGAAUGUCGGCAGCACCCUAACAAUGAUUAUUAUGUCCUCUACCGGCUAGUCUUCUUUGAUCCUUGAAUUCUGUGGAGCUCAAAUAGACAACAAAGCUUUGUGGAACUCAUUAAGUGUUGGCAUAAAAUCUCUUAGCCUUUAUCAUAUUGAGAUUCCUCCUAAUAAAUUUUAUUUAGCAGGAUCAUGCACUUAUUAUUUUUAUAUUUUUAUUGUAAGAUGAAAACAUAUUUAUUUUAUGCCACCACAGUCAAUAUACCUAUGGGUUUUAAACCACAAAUCUACUCACAUGGGGCUUUAGAUUUUAUGAUGCAGUGCAACGAACAAAUAUUUUUGGUUUCUUUUCUAAUGCUAAUGUGGAAAAGUAAAUAUGCUAAUGCAAGUGACGGAAUAAAAAAGAAAAGGAAUGCAGAAAAGAUAAAAAUGGAUAAAUACCGAUUUUACCUUCCGACAAGGAUCCAAUAUUUUAAGUCUUCUGGACAAGACUUCUCACCGUGUUCAUCCUUUAGGUGCAUCAUUUGAUUAGGUGUGGGCCUUGACAUCUGCACCUCUUGAUACGGUGUCACCCAUGUUCUUUGUUUGUCUAGCAGUUCGAGGUGCGACAUUGGCAGUAUCUUGCUCAGUGUGUUUGUGCUCGUAGAUCCACGUCCUUCACUUGGUAGAGUCUGGGAGUUGAAAAAUCCUCCAUGUUUCUCAAAAUGUGUCCUGCUCAUAGAGAUAAGGCAGAGAUCAAGUGCAUGGGUCCUGUUGGUGGAAAACACUAACAGAACCAAAAGUAUAUUUAUUCUUCUCUAUCCUUAAGCAUAGGGAGCAAGACAAAGUUGAUGGGUGAUAAGUUCAUGAGUGUACCAUUUAAAACAUUUGUCAGAUCAGAUCGCUCAACCUUAUGGAAAGAUAAUCUAUCUAUGUAUAUGUCUUUUUCUUUAUAUCUUCCCAAAGAUUGAAUGUGCAACAUUUUAGCUCAUAUGAUUAGGAGUGUAGGAUCAUGGAGGUAGUACUAGGAACAAAGAUUAAAGGACUAAACAUGCUGAAUCAGUUGGGUUAGUUAAUUUGGAGUUAUAAAUCAUACAUGUUUAUCUCUUUAUUUAUGUAAACGCCGGAACCAAGGAGAAGCUUAUAAAAGUGAUAGUCACAUACCUUAAGAUGUUACCUUAAUUGAAGAGUGAUGGUACCAUCUCACCUUGUGAAGCUUCCCAUUCGUCAUGGUUGUGUAUCUUGUUUAUGUACUUUGUCUCCUUCCAUGGAUCAUCUCUCUAUGAUGAAUGAGUUGUGUCCUUCUUGUGCAAAUUGUUAAACUUCAUGUGUCUCUCUCUUUAUAUCUGAUGUGAGUUUAUCUCAGGACUUUCCAGGUUGAUAUUGAAAGUUUUUCCUGCAGGGGUUAGUCUGACAAAAUAUACUAAUGUCUACUCAAGCAGUUUUUAGUUCAGUAACCAAACUAGACUCCAUGUCUAAUCAGAUUAAGGAAGGCUGUUUAACCUAAGCACCAUGCUUAAUUUAAAAGCCAAUAGAAGUAUGUGCAGUACUUCCAAACUAACACUUACUAGGAUAAACAAAGGUAGCGUGAUGGCUUUUAUAGAUAUCUACUCAAGUGGAGAUGAAGUAGUGUGAUAAGUAUUUAACAAAUUGAGCAUGUCUCAAAAGUAGGGACAACCAACAUAGCAACAUGGCAAAGGAUGUUCUUAUGUAAGGUAUUGCCCCCAAGCUUGAAUUUUGCAAAAUUCAAGAUUGGAUGAAUUUAAUUCAAUGUUGCAUGAUGAUUGGUUGGGCAUACCUUGCACUUGUCAUUCAUCCGAUUUUCUUGCUCCAAUCCUAGAAAGGUUAGUGUCACGAAUAGCCGAAGGAAUAUUUCUACAAUUAUAUUUAUAUGCUCAAUACACAAGGAAAUGUUACAAAUAAUUUAAAGUUCAUGUUAUGAUCUGAUAAGUGCUUGUUUUAGGACACUAAGCUUGUCCUUGGGAAACCAUCAAAUUAUGUUGGUGAUGUGGUUUCCCCUCCAACACCAACCUAAGCGUGCCUAUAUCAAGAUCGACUCAACGAUAUCUGCAAUAUUUAUUAUAGACAUAUGCAUCGAUAACCACCCCUUUAAAGUUUUUAUAUAUAGAAAGAAAGAGGGGGUUGGAGAUCUCAAAUGUGGUAAGGUUGGAGAGACCAAUUGAUUGGGGAGAUGUUUUAUAUGAGCAAGGACUUGGUGAGGUAUUUAUGAAAUAACUUCCAUGCUCACUGUUGUUUCUCUCAUUCUCAAACUCCAAGGAUGAUUCUUCAUGAAUGUUUAAAUUUCCUCUAGGAUUGUCUCUCAAGUUUGUUUUAUCCAUCCAUUCAAUGGUGAUAGCACAUGGAUUUUUAAUGCCCUCUAGCCAUUGAUGUUGCUCUUCUCGAUCCUCCUUGUGGUCUUGGUGACUCUUAUGCAUGGGAUGUCUAGAGAGAUUCAUAGGAUCAUCGGGAGGUUCAAGAGGAAGAGCAUAGUAGAAAUUAUUAGGCUCAAGGAUGGGUUUAAAGAUAGGUUCAAAUGAGUCAUCAAAAGUGGGUGUAGAAGGGGAGAAGAUGAGAUUGUCUUCUAAAUGGCUUCGCUCUCCUUCUAUUGCAUCACUUAAGAUGCCAUCCUUGAGUCUUUCUAGAUGUCCAUCAAAGGGAUUGGAUUUGAGAUGCUUUCUAAGAGAUCCCUUCUUAGGAAGGUUCAGACUAUAUGCACUUAAAGGUCUCUUAUGAAGCAGGAAGUUUAAGCUCAUCCCAAAAUGAAUUUCCAAAGGUAGAAUUUCUUCUUCUCUUAGAUUAUUUUGGAGCACUACAAGUUUGGGUUGGAUAGCCAAAUCACGAGAAUGAAAUGUUUGGAAAUCGGCUAUUGAAACUUUCUUUCCUUGUCUGGGAGAUGAUUCCUUCUCUAUCUCUAGGAUUUUUUUAUGAAGACUAGUGCAAGAAGGAUGUCCCCGAAUGAAGACAUACGUUGCUUUACUAACAGAUAAAGAAAGAAAAACUCUACCAAAGGUUAUAUGAUUAAGACCAAUGUGAAAAUAUCAAGGAAAAACAUGGUCUUGUAGGGCUAGGUUUAAACCAGAAUUUAUAGAAAGAUUAAAAGAUUCCCUAGGUGUAGCUAAAAGUUCAUUAUCUUCUUGAUUAAAAGGUAGGACCUCGGCUAUAGAAAAGGGUUAGUUUUGACCUAUUGCAAUCAACUCCGGACACAAAUCAUAAUUAGGAGCAAAGAAAGGACUUGUUGACUCCCAUGGUCUAUGCCUGGUCUCCGAAGGUGCAAAAAAUUCAAUAAUAGGUGUGGAAUUUGAGUUAUCCAUAAAGAUGAAAAAAAUAAAAAGAUAAAAGAAUAAAAGUAUAAAAGUAUAAUACAAGAUAAUAGCAAGACUUAAAGUUAUCCCAGCAAACCGUCUUUCUCUUCGACAACGGCGCCAGAAAUGCUUGUUGAUAUUUGGUAACGCCAUCAGAAAAUGAUCCGCAAGCGCACGGAUAUCGGUGAGCACUUCACCCGGGAGGUUAUCCAGAGUAUCGUAUUUAUAUUUUCACCACUGGGAGAAAGCGUGCAUCUGACUAACUAAAUCUAUUGCUACUACCCUUUAGGCUACAAACAAUAUGAUUCGAUGUGAGCGAUGUAUAGAGAAGACUACAACCGUACUCUCGUUCUAACCUUGGUAAGGAUGAUCUACUAUUCUAUUGGGGAGGCUCACGGAAUCUAGACACCAUAAAAGAUGUUCGACCCGCACCUAUAAACCCUAUCGAUUUUGCUAACGAGAUGUGGGCUACAAAGGUAGCUCGGAAAUGUCACGUUCCUCACUACUACCACGGUCUGGCUAGACAGGGGAUAUCUAUGAGUACCCUAGCCCAAACACCACGUUUACGCUAGCAAUGAUUACUCUAAACUCAACCGGAAGAGACUAAAGUAAACUCAUAAACCAAAGAACAAUAAGAACAAAGAACUUACUAGAAUUUAGAAGUCGAAAUACUGAAGAAUCCUAGGAGCAAGCCUCGGGUUAGGAGACUUGAUCCCGCAGGUACAACCUCGAAGUAGAGACCGACAGGCCGGGCUUCCUCCAAUCUACACCUCCACUCUAUCUCUCUCAAUCUAGUAGAACUAAUUCUACUCUCACAUUGGAUGCUAAGCCCUAUGAGGUUAGAUCCCUAGAGGGACCUCUCUCUCUGAUCCUCUCUGGAAAAUAUGCUAAUGAAUAAUGGGAUUGCUCUCCUCUAGGGGCCAGGGGGCCUGCUUAUAUAGUCCCCUCAAGUGAACGUGGGCCGUCGGAUCAAACCAACUUUAAUCGCACGAUUUUCCUUGAUCCUUUAGGUUGGUGGAGCAUAAUCCACGAGACAGGACCUGAUUUGUCUCUGUAGUAGGGCGGGCGCCCAAGGGGGGAGGGCGGGCGCCCUGCCCCCGGGCCUGCUCGGCCUCCCGUUCGUUCCCGUGGCUUCUGGACUCUUCUAGAUGAUAGAAAAUUGUGCGGCACGUUAAUAUCUCUAUGUAAACUCGACAUGUGGGCCUUUCCUCCAUAUUUCCUGAUAACCCCCUGCAGAAAUAGACAAACACCAAAACUCAUGGAAUUCUGUCAGAUAAAACCCUAAGUCUGGGUGUUGGUUGCAUUUGGAUCCUUUUCUUUAUUUAUUUGAUGAUUUAAUUUGGUACUUAAGGACCGUCAACACUUGCCAAGAAGGCUGCUCCUGCAAGUGAAUCGAAGAACACAAGCAAGAAUGUAUAAACACGCAAUCUGAAAUUGCAGAUAUGAAUGAUGGAAAUAUUCAAAUGAGGUUUCAAAAACUCAGUUCCAAAGGACUAAUCGACACAGUGGAGGAGAUCAAGAACUGCGGUCUGGAUAACUAUAAAAGGAUUUGUCACCAUAGUUACAAUGAACAAUUCAGUUUCUCGAUGGAAAACUAAACUCUAAACAAAACCUGAGUCUAAGCAGCGGCGGCUGCAUGGAAUAUAAAGGAGAAGUGACCUAGGGUUGGAGGCAACCAGGGGGAGGCGCCCGCAACAUGGGCUUAAGGCCCAAAUUCGAUACAUGACCAAGUUGGCCUAAAAUUGGUGACGCAGCACCUUGUCGUUUAAUCCACUGUUGACACUUCAUAACGCAACCACCGGAUAUCGGCGACGGCGCCAGAAGUGCCCUGGUAGGGUAACUCUAUUUACUAUUGGAUAAUUCCGCAAGCGCACAGAAUGUACCGCUGUAACACUUCACCAAGGAGUAUUCCAAGGUAUCGUAAUUUAUAUUUUCCCAAGGGAAAGCGGCUAAGUGUGUUUAACAAAAAGGGGAAUGAGAUUCCUUGACUUAUCUAGUAUCAACUAGUGAAUAAGGGUGGUAAAUAACGAAUAGGAAGGGUAGUGGUGAAUCCAAGGUCCUAUGCUAAAGGUAAAUGGUAGAGUUAGCUAGGUGGGAGGACAACGAGUGAGUAAAGGACUCCUAUGUAUCUAACUUGACUUCUGUGACUUACUUUAAUAGAUAAUUGCCUUAACUACGCUAGAGCCUUACUAACUGUGUGCGAGGGAUAGCCGAGCUGGUAAGACGCUUAGAAGGUUUUUCACCUAACCCCUUACCGAAAGCGACUAUUGGGCUUAUGGACGCCUUACCUUUUAAGAACUAGCCUGUACGUGAGGAGAACCUAAUGCCACCCACGAUCUGUCACCUACUAGGGAGUGCGCUCCUACUUUCCGUUCAAGCCAGCGGUAAUCAAAGGUAAUCUUAAGUAUGAGCACCACGCUCACACUUAAUCCUACAACGCUAACUAGUUGCAGCUAGCUAGAGCUCCUAUACAAGAUAGGACGAUGAUGCACACACAGGAGUGGUUACAGGUCACUAACUUCACUAAGACAACUAUAUUACUAAAGUAAAUGCACAACAAGACUAAAAGACUUGCACUAAGUAAGAACUCAGUAAAGUAAAGUAAGAAUAAUAUAUUAAUAAAAGGAAAGUCUUACAAAAGUAGAAAGGUACAAGAGCUAUACCAGACUCUCCAGAAGACGACUCCGGAGACCCCGAGCUUCGCUCGACUCGACUCUAACUCCCACUCUAGACUAACUACUACUCUACUUGUAUGCUUGGAACUUGUAAUGCACUUGGCCUUGGAAUUGCACACUUGAAAUGAAGGGUGGAGGCUGCCUUUUAUAGAGGGAGAUGGAGUAGGGGUUACUCCAUCGCCACGUCAUCGAUCCGCGUGACAUCUUCUCUCCACCCUUGGAUCAAACCGACCUCACAACCGCCAUUUGAUCAACGGCAGGGGCAAAUCAACAUGUGGGACAUGUGGGGAAGGUCGGUGGGAGGCCACCGACCCUGGAACCGCCUUUGAUGUGGGGUCGGGCGACCCCACUUCUGGGCCUCUGGGCCCACCAGCAGUGUCCACAGGGGUCCCUUAUGUCGGUGGACUAGGUGGCACACCUGGGUCCCACCAAAGAGGGGUCGGGCGACCCCCUCCCUGUGGGCCCAGGGUGUCACCUAUUGUCCCCUCGAUCUCCUCUUGAUGAUUCUGAUGUUGGCUUUGUCAAAUAAUGUCUUGAAUUUGUUGUUCCUGCAUAAACAAGCUAAGAGUACAAGUGGAACUAGUUAUGGAUAAAAUAUGUUCAUGUCAUGUCGUUUCCUCUUGCAACCGAGGCAUGUUGACGGUGUUUUGUAUGUGGAUUUCUAUGGUAUAUCCACCGUCAACAAGAUCCCCCAAGCUUAACCUUUGCUCGUCCCGAGCAAACAAUCAAACUUAGCCUCGGUGGAUCAGGUAUUGUUACUAUGUUCACAUUUCAAGAGUACCAUGUGUACAACAAAGUUCUUCUCUUUGCAUGAAAAAUUUAGCUAUGUAAACUUACCCCUAUUACCUUAGUCCCUUAUGGGGCUUAUGGCUUUUCCUUUGUCUUAGGUGGUUGAGAGACAGAACAGUUUGACUUGAGCACUAACUUUCUCAUUCUUAGCAAGUUUCAUAUCAGAGGUUUUGUGAUAUUUUCAAAAGAAAGCUUAAAUGUUCCUCUUAUGGUUCUCUCAUGUCACUCAAAUGGUGUAUGAUUCCUCACCAAGGCAUAUGGUAAGAGUUGCCUUCUCUAUUUCAUCCUAUUUCUAAAAGGCUUAUGUGGAGUUCAAGGUAGGGAUGAAAGGAGAUAGCAUACUUACUUUGCAUGUAUUGCGAAGUCAAAGCUCGGAUCCUUGAAGAUAAGUGUCAUACUCCUAGAUCAAGAUGUGCAAGUGUGAUAUAUGGUGGACUAGGUUGCUCCUUUAUUUGAUAGACUCUCUAUGUAUUGAGACAUGGCUAGCAUUUUUUUCUUCUUUUUUUUUAUAUAUGAGCUUUCAUGUGCUCAAUUUUCUUUUUCUGUGGACUUGCGCAUGUCCAUCUUUUUAUUUCAUUUUGCCUAGCCCUUUUGAUGUCUCAUUUACCAAAUAAUGCUUAGAGAGAUGUUCUAACAUUUAGAGUAUGGAGCAACCUAUUUAGUGGAUGCGAAAUACAUGUGGUUGCGUACUUCCAGUGUAGAAGCAGCAUAUAUAUAUGUGGUGUGUACGUGAUCUUGAUCUUAGGAGCAUGAAAAGUCUCUUAACAAGGGUCAACAAGACUUGACGACACUCAACACAAAGCAAAUAGCUUAUGUGGAAAGGUUGCAAUUAUGUAAAGUAGAUAUGGCUGUGGUAGGAAUUCAUCACCAUUGAGGAACAAUUAAGGUUUUGAUCAUUUUAAGAAUAAAUCUCUGAUAAUCAUGCAUGCUUAGAAAAAUAUUAUAGUAGCUCUUGUCUUACUAUCUCAUGUCCCACAACAACUUAGACUUAGUUCUAGCACUUGCAACCCACAAAGUUUUUAGGUUCAUGGCAGUUUAAGUGAGCUAAGUGAUCCAUACUUAGAGAAAUACUAAGUUGUAUACUAGGCACUAGAGAAACAUUAACAAGCAACUAGUCAUAAUUUCCAUGAGGGAUAUAAACAUACAUGAAGCAUAUAUGCUAAAGGGAAAUGCUAAUAAAUAUUUAUUUUUUUUUAAGUAAGAAUGAUAAAAUGCAUGAAAAUAAAUAGGAUAGAAUACUUACCUUAGUGGGGGAGAGGAUCUCCCCCAAGCUAGAUCUUCGCUCACUAUGUUGGCGGGAAAUUUUGGUACCAUCCAGCCCAGCGUUGUGCGUCUUCCUCUCGCACACGUCGGAUAUGUUGGCCGUUUUGUAACGCCAGUUGCAAUGUUGCUUCUUGCCCAAUCUGCAAUUCGCCCAUGUCAUUAAUGAGACUGUCCAUACCUGUGGGCUGGUGACGCCUAGCCCUGUCCCUUGGGCGUGGAGUGCGUUGUGGAGGUAGACCCAUGGAGUCUGAAGCAUCCACUGACAUCGCUUCAUCGCCCUCUUCAACGUCAUGGUGCGAGGAUCCUCCUUGCUCCAUCUGGGCGGCUUGCAUCAUCCUUCUUGUCACCCUGCGUGUCCCUGCAACAUCUGGACUUGCCACUCGGGCUAGUCUAAUGGUAAGUGUGCGGACCCCAUACAACCGGCGCCUCGCACAUGGGAGAGGAAUUUCGGUUGUAUAGCCCGGAUAAAUCAUUCUAAGUUCACCAUUUGGAUCUCUUAUGAGCAUGUUAGCAUUGAUAAAGAAGUUCUCAUCUACCACUCCUCUAACAUAGCCAAUGUCUUCAAAAUAAUGUGAUUCAAGUAAUCCAAAAGUAUCGGCUAUUCGAGUAAUAAAGGAUGUGAAAUAGAUGGGCUUCCCAUACUCAAUAGAGUUAAGCCAAUGGUUCACUAGCAGUUUCACAGGGGAGACCUUGAUUUUACUAACCAUGGCAUAGAGAAUUUUAAGUUCAUCAUCAAUUAAAGUAUCAGUUCCCAUGCCAGGAUAUAGAGUGCACAUGAUCCAGAAGUGAAGAAAGCGCAAGGUUGGAUUAUGGAUUUCAAUGGGAGUAGGAUUUGAACAAUCAUUAGAGCCAGAAAUUGCUUUCCAGAAUCUAAUUUUAUCGAACAUUCUAGUGGCAUGAUCUAGAUCAAGUUCACAUUCAUGUUCACACCCUAAAGCAGUGUUUAGCAAACUCCAAUUUAAUUGAUGUUCUUGCUCACACAUGCGAAAAGAUAUUCCAUUAUUUGUGAGUUUUAGGGUGCAUAGAAAUUCCUUAGCAAGCAAUUCUUUUCCAAAUUCAGGCACUUGCCAAAAACUACUCCAACCAAUUGCUCUAAACACCUUAUCAAAUUCAACAUCCAUACCUGUGCGGGCCAAAAGGUCCGGAUCGAUGAUGCUAGUGUGUAGGAAGAGACCCUCUCGGAUGAUGUAGUACCUUUGCAACUCUUCUUGGCUUAACAUGAGGCCGCUCUCGGGCUCUCUCAUCCUUGAUGGAGGCUCGUAGGGUACCAUCCCAUGGUAACCUUCUUCUUCUUCCCUUCCAUGAGCAUGGUGAGAGCCUUGAGAAGAGCUCUCACCCUUUGCUUUCUUGAACUUGCCGAAGAUAUGCUUCUUCAUCCUCCUACACAAGUGAGGCAAACCAAGCUCCUACUACUACUACUAUGCAAGGGGAAUCUUUUUGGGUUUUUGUUUUGAUGACUAUUUCUAAACUAAACUUGAGAAAUGGCUUGUAACAAAGAGAGAAGAGAAAGGAUUGUGAGCUCGAAAUGGUUCUGGUGGUUUUGGGUGUGGAGUUGAGCUCACAAUGUUGUGGUAUUUAUAGGGGGAGAAGGGCAAGUAGUGGACCCACAAUAUAGGGGUCGGCCGACCCCCCCUAGAAGCACUUUGAAUUUGAGUUUAGCUUUAUACAGGGAACCAUUCUGCAUGCUUUCAAGAUUUUGCAGAGAUGGUCCAAAAUGGGGGUCGGCCGACCCCCAUCCUAGCCCCUCCUCCACUUUAAACAUUGUGUCAUUGAUUGUCCGGAAAAGUAAAGGCUAGGUGUGGACCAAAAGUUUUCAAAUUGUUUCUGAGAUUCCCUGUUUUAGUGCUUUGGAAAGGUAAAAGAUGAAUGGCAAAAGUGGAGACAUGUCUAAAGUGAUUCCUAUGGACCAUGGGAGCACUCAAGCAUGCCUAGGUGACCACUUUGCAGAAUUUAAGCUAGUGGAGUGGUCCCAAAAGAAUCAAAGAUGAAAGGAGCAUCUUAUGACUAAAGUAAAGGAUCAAGGGACCACUCUUUUUCAAACUUUAGCUAGUGUUACAAGCAUAGGACUCCAUUGUGAUUCAAAUGGUGGCCAGCAGGAGGCAAGUGGGGCCAAUACGGGGGUCGGCCGACCCCCACAUUGGAGCUCCCAGAGCAUCCAAGUGCUGGGUUGGAACCUCUAUGACUAGCAAGGUUGAAAUGUGGUGAAGUGGGCCCCAAGGUGGGGUCGGGCGACCCCCCUUUGGGAGCUCCAGCAGCUCAAAUUUUUAUGACAAGUUAUUCUCAAGAUUUUAUUUAUUAUGGCUAAACAUUUUGUCGAAAUAAGAUAUGCAAAAUUCAAAGUAAGAAUGCAAUUGAAAAGUGAAUAGUAGAAAUUGAAAUGCAGAAAAUAAAUAUGGGAUAACUACUGAUUUACCUUAUCAGCAAGGGCUCCAUGUUUUAGGUCCGUAGAGCAGGACCUCUCCAUCUUGUUCAUCCUUCGGGUGCAUCAGAUGGUCCCGGAGACGUGGACCUUGAUUGCACCUCUUUCUCCCGCCAUACUUGCUUGGUAUUGAUUUUUGGUUCAGCGGGUUCCUCUUCUUUCUUUUCGGCCCUUUUGGCCGACUUACCUCUCUUGUCCCUUCGGCGUCGGAUGUGGCGAGGCUUAGUCGGAGGUUCUUUGUCCUUCACCUGCAUGUUAGCUUUAUAACCAUUGAAUGGACAUUUUACCUUCCAUCCUGGGAAUUGGAGGUGAAUCUGGCCGGACCCCACAUAGAUGACUGCAUUGACCGUGUUGAGGAAUGGCCUUCCCAAGAUGAUCGAGACAUCAUUAUUGGAUCCCAUAUCCAAAAUGAUGAAGUCGGCAGGGACGUAGUCGUCUUGGACCUUUACCAGUAUGUCCCUUGCCAACCCCUCAGGGAACCUGAUCGUCUGAUCUGCCAUCUGCAAACGAACAAAUGUGGGGUGCAAAGGUCCCCCUAGCAAAUUAUCAUAAGUUACCUUGGCCAUGAUGUUGACACCCGAUCCAAGGUCGCAGAAGGCGUUGUGGAAGAUUUGCGGUCCGAUCUCACAGGUGAUGGUCGGCAGGCCUGGGUCGUCCUUCUUGGUGAUGAAGGGCGAAUCCAGAAGAUAGCUCCAGUUGGAUUGUACCAGAGGCUUACCGAACCUCGUAGUAACUAGUUUAACUCCUUCAAUUGGGUCCUCAGGUUUCCCUGGGAUCUUACCUUGCUCGAAGGAUGGGACAGCUGCUGCUAAUUGAGCUAAUUGUGUUUCUAGCAUUUUGUUAAAGCUCAACUGAUUUUUCAUAGCAGAGUUAAAGCUAUCCAACUUUUCACUUAAGUUUUCAAGGAUCUUAUCAUUAGCCAUCAUUUUCUUGUUAAUGCUAUCAUUGAUUUUAGAUUGGCCUAAGACAAGAUCUCUAAGAGAAGGUUGGUUACCAAAAGAAUUAUUGAAAUUUUGAUUGUAACCAUUACCUUGAUUACCUUGGUAGAAGGGGCGCGAGUUCCAUUGCUGUUGUUGGGGCCGGUACCCAUUGUUGUUGUUGUUGAUGAAGCUCACUUCCUCCUUUGUUUCAGGACAAUUGUUUCCCGAAUGAUCAUCUCCUCCGCACACUUCGCACCAUGAAUCAGAUUCAAUGGCCCGUGCAGUGGCGUAAGGUUGAAUGGUCUCUUGCUUGGAACUUUCUUCCAUCUUCUUCAUUAAGAGGUCCAUCUUAGCAGAGAGCAUGUCCACCUCAUUCAAGGCAUGGACACCUCUUCUCUUGGGUUGGAGGCGUUCCUCAUUCCAUUCUUGGUUUAUAGCCAUCUUUUCAAUGAGGUCCUUGGCAUCCUUGACAUUGUGUUGCAAGAAUGCUCCUCCAGCGGCAGCAUCAAGGUGACUACGGGCCAAACCGGUCAGGCCAUGGUAGAAACCUUGGAUUAGGAGCCACUCCUCUAUCCCAUGAUGAGGACAGGCGCGAAUGUACUCCUGCAGACGUUCCCAUGCUUCGGGAAUCGUCUCAUCUGCUUGCUGUUGGAAGCUGGAAAUCUUUCCACGAAGGGCGCUGGUCUUGCCCAUCGGAAAGAACUUCUUGAGAAAUGCAUUGGCGCACCUCUCCCACGUGGUCACUUCACCCUUGUUGGCGUAGAACCAUUGCUUCGCCUUCCCCAAUAAUGAGAAUGGGAAGAGGCGAAGACGGAUGGCGUCUGCGGCGACAUUCUUGAUGGUUAAGGUGCCGCACACCUCCAAGAAGUGUUGGAGAUGGGCAUUGGCAUCCUCGUGUGGCUUUCCACAGAAGGGAUUAGCUUGCACCAUAUUGAUAAGCGCAGGCUUCAACUCAAAAGUCGCAUCCCCCAAGUUAAGCUGCGGACCCGUGGCGACAUUGUCAGCCGACGGCGCAGAGUACUCAGAGAUGGUCUUCUGGGCCAUAGCUUCUUUGAUAACCGGUGCAGAUACUCCUUCCUCUAACGGAUUCAGGUUCGAGAUGAACCUUUGAGGUGGAACUUGACGACGUCUAGUUCUCCUCAACAGUUGCUCAGGAUCUUCAACGAAGUUUGACGGCAAUUGGAAACCGCUCAUACACUGUCAGGCUUCACAAUAAAGGAAGACAAGACAAGUGAUGGGUUAUCCCUAUCACUACUUGAUAACUAGCAAACUCUGGAUUCUCUUUUUGUUAAAACUCUUAGACAGACGCUUUCCCCGGCAACGGCGCCAGAAAUGCUUGUUGACACUUCUUAACGCAACCACCGGAUAUCGGCGACGGCGCCAGAAGUGCCCUGGUAGGGUAACUCUAUUUACUAUUGGAUAAUUCCGCAAGCGCACAGAAUGUGCCGCUGUAGCACUUCACCAAGGAGUAUUCCAAGGUAUCGUAAUUUAUAUUUUCCCAAGGGAAAGCGGCUAAGUGUGUUUAACAAAAAGGGGAAUGAGAUUCCUUGAGUUAUCUAGUAUCAACUAGUGAAUAAGGGUGGUAAAUAACGAAUAGGAAGGGUAGUGGUGAAUCCAAGGUCCUAUGCUAAAGGUAAAUGGUAGAGUUAGCUAGGUGGGAGGACAACGAGUGAGUAAAGGACUCCUAUGUAUCUAACUUGACUUCUGUGACUUACUUUAAUAGAUAAUUGCCUUAACUACGCUAGAGCCUUACUAACUGUGUGCGAGGGAUAGCCGAGCUGGUAAGACGCUUAGAAGGUUUUUCACCUAACCCCUUACCGAAAGCGACUAUUGGGCUUAUGGACGCCUUACCUUUUAAGAACUAGCCUGUACGUGAGGAGAACCUAAUGCCGCCCACGAUCUGUCACCUACUAGGGAGUGCGCUCCUACUUUCCGUUCAAGCCAGCGGUAAUCAAAGGUAAUCUUAAGUAUGAGCACCACGCUCACACUUAAUCCUACAACGCUAACUAGUUGCAGCUAGCUAGAGCUCCUAUACAAGAUAGGACGAUGAUGCACACACAGGAGUGGUUACAGGUCACUAACUUCACUAAGACAACUAUAUUACUAAAGUAAAUGCACAACAAGACUAAAAGACUUGCACUAAGUAAGAACUCAGUAAAGUAAAGUAAGAAUAAUAUAUUAAUAAAAGGAAAGUCUUACAAAAGUAGAAAGGUACAAGAGCUAUACCAGACUCUCCAGAAGACGACUCCGGAGACCCCGAGCUUCGCUCGACUCGACUCUAACUCCCACUCUAGACUAACUACUACUCUACUUGUAUGCUUGGAACUUGUAAUGCACUUGGCCUUGGAAUUGCACACUUGAAAUGAAGGAUGGAGGCUGCCUUUUAUAGAGGGAGAUGGAGUAGGGGUUACUCCAUCGCCACGUCAUCGAUCUACGUGACAUCUUCUCUCCACCCUUGGAUCAAACCGACCUCACAACCGCCAUUUGAUCAACGGCAGGGGCAAAUCAACUUGUGGGACAUGUGGGGAAGGUCGGUGGGAGGCCACCGACCCUGGAACCGCCUUUGAUGUGGGGUCGGGCGACCCCACUUCUGGGCCUCUGGGCCCACCAGCAGUGUCCACAGGGGUCCCUUAUGUCGGUGGACUAGGUGGCACACCUGGGUCCCACCAAAGAGGGGUCGGGCGACCCCCUCCCUGUGGGCCCAAGGUGUCACCAGUUGUCCCCUCGAUCUCCUCUUGAUGAUUCUGAUGUUGGCUUUGUCAAAUAAUGUCUUGAAUUUGUUGUUCCUGCAUAAACAAGCUAAGAGUACAAGUGGAACUAGUUAUGGAUAAAAUAUGUUCAUGUCAUGUCGUUUCCUCUUGCAACCGAGGCAUGUUGACGGUGUUUUGUAUGUGGAUUUCUAUGGUAUAUCCACCGUCAACAUCCACGAAAGAUCUGGAGCUGGGACCAGAUCCAAAUUGACGGCAUCGUUGCUAGCCUCUCUCGUUAAGGAAGGCCUAUGGCCUGCUCCGUGAUUCUCGGAUCGGCUGUUGAGGCGAUCAGGAAAGCGAUUUAGACCCGCUACGCUGCCGGCCGCCCGGCCGCAGCGUCCACGCCCCGGGUCUGCCAUUGCAGGGUGGACCUGGCCACCGCCAUAUCGUCGGUUAGCCCGUUCAGGCACCAUCGAUGCUCCAUACCGAUAGGGUUUGCCGCGUAGGUUCCUAGUCGGGUUUCUUUGGUUCGUGGCUGUGUGUAGAUUGCGCGGCGCACACUGUUUUUCUUUCUCCCUAUCUGAUCACCAUGUCGGGAUCGGGUUCGGGUGGGAAAGCUCUGGAGGGUAAGGGCGAGGGCUUAAACCCUAAUGUGGAGGACAUGUUCCGCAAACUCCAACUCACGGCGGAGGAAGAGGCGGUGCUGGACCUCAGCAGCGAGGAUGAAGAGGAGACCAUGGCACCCGCGAUGUGGGCGCUGGUGGAGAAGAUUCUAUCACCAGUUCCGAUCCAUGCCGAGACGAUCCGUUCGGCAAUGAGGCCAGCAUGGGGAAACCCGGUUGGACUGAAGAUCAAGACUGUAGGUGAGAAGGGAGACAACACAUUCAUGGUGGAGUUUGGAAGUGCCCGAGAUAUGGAUCGGGUUUUGUCUGGAGCGCCAUGGAUGGUGAAGAAGUAUGCGGUGCUGUUGCAGGAGUAUGAUGCUACUCUCAGUGCUUCAAGCAUUGUUUUUGACAGAAUUGAGAUGUGGGUGAGGAUCCUAGACCUUCUGCUAGGAUGGAUGAAUCGUGAGAAGGGAGCACGGGUUAUGGACAUGAUCUGCAAGGUUGUCUCCAUGGAUGUGGACUCCGAUGGCAAGGCCAGUGGAGCCUUCCUCCGGGCCCGUGUCUCCAUUGAAAUUGAUAGACCAAUCAGGAGGGGGAUCUUCCUUAGACUGAAAUGAGGAGAAGAACCCAAAUGGUUCAAAGUACAGUAUGAGAAACUGCCCUAUAUUUGCUUCUCAUGUGGAAAGCUCGGUCAUUCCGACUUGGAGUGUCCAAAUCCUGCUGAACGGGAUGAGGAAGGGAAACUCCCUUAUGACGUCAAACUAAGGGCCCCAGAGGAGCGUCGCCGCCGGCCAUAAUCUUUUGCUGGGGCAGCUGCGGAGACUUUUGGGAGUGGAUCUUCCUAUGGUUCCAAGGCUUCCAAGCCCUCAAACCAGGCAGGUGAGGGGGCACCGAAAUCUAACUCGCGUGACUCAGCGAGCGUUGUGGGGCAUUCGGAAGAGAUGGAGGUCCAGUCACCGUUGAAAAAUGAUGGUGGUAGGAAGAAGGUGAUUGAGGAUGAGAAAGAACGGGGGGCGAGCAGGCAUCUCAAUCUCCAGGAGGUUGAUGGUCAGCACUCAUACCCGCGUAAGCGGAAGUCGAAGGUGGCUUCCACCGCCACUCUAACACCCGGGCUGGAUCUCCCACCAGGCGCCAUGUUAGCACUGGUGCCGGUGGGACUGGUUAACUCACUAGUUAGUAAGCUGGAUGGUGGGGCGGACAGCAGUAGUGCCAGCAUGUUGGAAACCCUCAAAAAAUAGAAAUGCGGCACAUCAGACAAUGCGCGAUCCGCGGCGGCUGCGGGUGACAGCCCCCGCCGGGCACAAUGAAUGUCCUCAGCCUGAACUGUCGGGGCUGCGGGCGGCCCGAGGCAGUUCAAGAGAUCCACCAGCUGGUGGUGGAGAAGAAGCCCGCGGUGGUGUUCUUAAUGGAGACAAGGAUGGGGGAGGAGAAGGCUCUCGGCUUGGCUAGGCGUCUUGGUUUUCAAAAUGCCAUCGUUGUCAAGUCAGAGGGCCUUAGUGGUGGUUUAAUGCUGAUGUGGCAUGGCAAUGUCAUGGUAGCGGAAUUGACCAAAUCGAGGUCGCAUAUUGACGUGAUCUUGUCUUGUGAUCACCUAAAAAUCUCUCACUGGCGUCUAACGGGUUUCUAUGGUGAGCCUAGAUGGGAACGCCGGCGUGAGAGUUGGUACCUGCUGAGGUUUCUUCGAGCACAGUCGAGUGAUCCAUGGCUGUGUUUGGGGGACUUUAAUGAGGUUCUAGCGAUGGAGGAGCAGAUGGGAGCUAAUGAACGAGAAAUGUGGCAGGUGACCGCUUUCCAGGAUGUUGUUAAUGACUGCGCCUUGACUGAUCUUGGUUUCCACGGCCUACCCUACACUUGGGACAACCGGCAGGAAGGCGGUCGGAAUGUGAAGGUGAGGCUGGAUCGGGCCUUGGGAGACAAUAAGUUUAUGGAGCUCCUAGGUGGAUCGGAGGUGUUUCACCUCCCUACGACAGAGUCUGAUCACGCUGGGCUUCUGGUGGAAGUAAGACAUCAGGAACCAGGGGCGCAGACAAGGCGUAGGCGCCACAAGCCGUUCCGGUAUGAGAACAUGUGGAAAACCCGUGGCGAUUAUCAUGAGUUUGUGAAUAGGACCUGGGACCCGGGGCCUGGAUCAGCAAACUUGUCUACUGUGGCAAACGCCCUCUCAGCCUUGCAAGGCUCCUUUAAAUCUUGGGACCGUGACAUUUUUGGCUCUGUGACAAAGAAAGUGAAGGAGCUUAGAGCAAAGCUGGAGGAGGAAAGAAGGCACACUCUCUACCGGGGUCCUACGGAUAGGGAACGAUCAAUUAUGGCUCAACUAACCGAGGUCCUGGCAAGGGAGGAAGUGAUGGCUAAACAGCGGUCUAGAAUAACCUGGCUGCGGGAGGGCGAUAGGAAGACUGAAUUUUUCCAAGCUAAAGCCAAACCUAGAAGCAAGACCAAUCGAAUCAAGCUGCUUAUGGACGUGGAUGGUCAUGUGUUCACUGAUCAGGAGGACUUGGAGAGAUUGACGGGCGACUUCUACCAGCGCCUAUUCUCGGCGCAAGAUGAACUCCUUCCUGAUUUGGUAUGUAAACAUGUUCCAAGGAAGGUAACACCAGUCAUGUGUGAGCUCCUUGGUGCACCUUUCUCUGAACAAGAGGUGGAAGAAGCUUUAUUUUGUAUGGCACCAAACAAGGCCCCAGGUGUGGAUGGUUUCAAUGCUGGCUUUUUCCAAACGCACUGGGACCUGAUCAAAGGGUGUGUCAUGGAGGCGGUUCUGGGGUUUCUGAAUGGAGGAGAAUUACCUGAGGAAGUUAAUAAAACCCUUCUAGUUCUAAUUCCAAAGGUAACCAAUCCGCAAGACUUAACCCAGUACCGGCCGAUCUCUCUUUGUAACGUGCUCUACAAGAUCUGCUCAAAGGCGAUGGCAAAUCGACUUCGGCGAAUUUUGGAUGAGAUUAUUUCAAUUGAGCAAAGUGCGUUCGUACCGGGUCGACUGAUCACGGAUAAUGUACUGAUCACGUACGAGUGCAUACACUACUUAAGGAACAAGAAGGGCAAACAGGGUGAUUGUGCCAUCAAAUUGGACAUGGCAAAGGCUUAUGACCGGGUUGAAUGGCCAUACCUGGAGUGCAUCAUGAGAGCGCUGGGCUUUCCUGAAGGUUGGAUUGCCCUAGUGAUGAAAUGUGUGAAAUCAGUGACUUUCUCAGUAAGAGUGAAUGGAGUCUUCUCUCAUGAAUUCAAACCAUCGAGGGGAAUUCGCCAGGGAGAUCCCAUUUCACCCUAUCUGUUCUUAAUCUGUGCAGAAGGCCUAUCGUGUAUGUUGAAGAACAUUGGCCCACAAUAUGUCUCAAGGGGGGUGAGAGUUAGCCAAAAUGCUCCAGGGAUCUCUCACCUUCUAUUUGCAGAUGACUGUCUGGUUUUCACACAGGCAUCAAAGAAAGGGGCGGAUAGUGUAGCGUCGAUCCUGGAUGAGUAUCAUAAAGGGUUGGGGCAACUUGUGAAUAAAAAUAAGUCAGCCAUCUUUUUUAUCACCAAUUGUGGAGAAGAGAAUAAAGAGGAGGUUCAUGCUGGUUUGCAAAUUGAUACGGAAGCUCUGGGGGAACGCUAUCUGGGUUUACCCACAGCGGCUGAACGAGGAGCAACUGAUGUCUUUAACUAUUUGCCAGCUAAGGUGCGUGUUAUGAUUGCAGGCUGGGCUGAGAAGGGGCUUAGCUGUGCAGCGCGAGAGGUGCUUCUAAAGGCCAAUGUUCAAGCAGUGCCUACAUACCCCAUGUCGGUAUUUAAACUCUCUCCGGUGGUGUGCCAAAAGCUAACAUCGUCAGUCUCAAACUACUGGUGGGGGAGCUCGCUUGACAAUCACAAACUGCACUGGCUUAAGUGGGAGAAAUUGACAAGAUCAAAGAUUGAUGGUGGUAUUGGUUUUCAGGAUUUUGCCUUGUUCAAUCAGGCUAUGCUCGGGAAGCAAGGAUGGAGAUUGCUCUCAAGACUAGACUCGUUAUGUAGCAAGGUACUGAAGGGGAAGUAUUAUCCACACUCUAACUUCCUAUCAGCUACUAAGAAAUGACGAAGCUCGGCAACCUAGAGGGCAAUUUUGCAUGGCCGGGAUGUCUUAGCUCGGGGGCUAAUCAAGAGAGUUGGGCCGAGGAAUAUUAGUAUCUGGGAAGAUAACUGGAUCCCUGGUGUGCGACCUCUCAAACCAUUGGUUCGCAUGCCUCGAACUACUGUGGAAAGGGUCCGGGAUCUGUUCAUAUCGGGCACUCGUGUGUGGAAUGAAGCGGUGGUUUUCGGCUCCUUUAUGGUGCUGGAGGUGGCUGAAGUGCUGAAGAUCAAACCGAGCACUCUAAUUGAGGAGGAUGUGAUCGCUUGGGCUCAUGAGAAGUGUUGACACUUGCUAACACCACUUGAAUACUAGGUUGUCAUCCCCAGCAUGGCACUAGAGUGUACUACGGUAUUUAUACGCACACAGAUAAUCCGCAAGCGCACGUAUACCGUUGUAGCUUUAACCCGGUUAAAGGUUUUAUCGUAUCCACAGGGAAACGGGAGAACCAACUACGCUCUAACUUAACCAAGAUAAAUAGAUAAGUGUAAAUAGGAAAUAGGGUAGAAUUGAAUAAGAACAAUACUAAAGGUAAGAUAACAAUGGGUGAUUUUAUGGGAAUAGAGAGUAGAGCAAUCUAAUAUAUGGGCGAUGGUAGCAGAAUAGAGAGGAUAACUAUGGUUUCUCUACUUCAAAGGGGUACGUCUAUGUCUGGGACGAACCACGUGAUAAGAAUACACCACAAAGGAUGCUUAUCCAUAGGCCGAUAAACCCUACCCAUCCUGCUAACAAGAGGUGGACUACAGGGGACCAACGUAGCUGUCACCUACGCGGCCUACCACACGAUCCAGCUAGACAGGGGAUAUCGACAAGUAAUCUAGGUCUAAGCACCAUGCUUACACCUAUACUACAACUCUCACCUAUAGCGUCCUAUAGAUUAAAGUACUCAAAAGAGUUGUGAACCAGAACAUACGUGAUUAGUAAUUGCAUAAUGAAUUAGAAGUAGAUUACCAGAGUCAUCCCAUGAGCAAGCUUGAUUAGAGCUUGAUCAUGACGAAGUACAACCGGAGGAAGAACCGACAGGCCGGCCUCUCCUCUAAUCCUCCUUUGCUCUCCAUCUCGCUACUAUCUAGAUCUACUCUAGUUUAGAGAAGAGAGGAGAGCUCUCAUCCCUAAACCCUAGAUUUUGCUCUGUCUAUGAAUAAUGAAUAAUGAUCAAGGGGUGCCUCCUCCAGGGGCCAGGAGGUCUGGUUAUAUAGUCCCCUCAAGUGAAUCUAGGCCGUCGGAUCAAACCGACAUUGAUUGAACGGUUAUUCUUGAUCCUUUAGGUCGGUGGAGCAUAAUCCGCGAAGUUGAACGUGAUUGGCCGAAAUAGGUGGGCGGGCGCCCUAAGGACUUGGGCGGGCGCCCUGUCCCUGAGCCCUCUCGGCUUCUGCUUUGUUCCUGUGGCUUCUGGAGUCUUCUAGAUGAUAGAAAAUUUUGCGGCACGUUAAAAUCUCUAUGUAAACCCGACGUGUGGGUCUUUCUUCCUUAUUUUCUAAUAACCCCCUGCAGAAAUAGACAAACACCAAAACUCGUGGAAUUCUGUCAGAUAAAACCCUAAGUCUGGGUGUUGGUUGCAUUUGGAUCCUUUUCUUUAUUUAUUUGAUGAUUAUAUUUGGUACUUAAGGACCGUCAACAAGAAGCAUGGUGGGUAUUCAGUUAAAUCUGCCUACAGGCUUCUUAAGCACGAUUAGUUGUAGAAGGCAAUGGCUGAUGAUAGUAAACAAGCUUCAGCGUCAGGUGAACCCACUUUCUGGAAAGUGUUAUGGAGAAUGAAUGUGCCUCCUAAGGUUCGAGUCUUUUGGUGGAGAGUGUUACAUAAUUCUCUACCAUCAAAGGCGGAGCUUAAGAGACGACAUGUGGCUAGAGAAAGUCAUUGUGAAAUGUGCGAAAGUCGAGAUGAUAGUCUAUUCCAUGUGUUCUUUGACUGCCCGAUUGCGAAGCGAUUUUGGGAGGAGGUGAAGAAGGAGACGGGGUUGGCAAUGCCAAAGAUAUAGAGUGAUACUUGGGCCCAGGAUGUCCUCCGAUUGAGAUCAAGGAUGAUGAUGCCGAGUGAAACAAUCAUCUGUGGUGCCUGGGCUCUCUGGACUGGCCGCAACACUCGUGGUCAUGGGCGCAAAUCUUGGGAACCAGGAGCUACUGCUAGGUUCGUUUCAAAACUGUUGGAGGACCUGGCAUCCCUGAAGCUAGCGCCUGUGAUGAGGCCAGCGCCGGCUAAAGCGAAAUGGGAAAAGCCAUCACCAGGGUGGUUCAAGAUAAACACAGACGCGGGCUUUGAUCGGGAAUCAAAUUCGGGCUCGGCUGGUGUGGUUAUUCGAAAUGAAGCUGGUCUGGUGGCAGGUGGAUCAGCAAGAUGGAUUGAGAAUGUUCCUGACACGCUCACAGCAGAAGCUAUGGCGGCAAGAGAGGGUCUUGAACUUGUGGUGGAAUUGGGACUCGACCGGGUGAUACUUGAGGUCGAUUGCCAAGAACUCUCGAAGCUGCUACUUAGUCAAAAUUCGAUCUCCUCAUGUAUUGAAGGCUUAUGUUUUGAUAUAAUAGAGCUAGGCAAGAUGUUUAGUGAGUUUUGCAUUAGAUGGGUCAGAAGGGACGCGAACUCGGUGGCAAACUUCUGUGCAUCCAUAGUUUCGCCUACCGAUCGCUGCCACUUCUGGUUUGAUAAUGUACCAGGCUGGCUAGUGGUCCUAGCAGAUGCCCAUUGUAAUCUGGCCAUGAAUCAAUAGAAAGCUCUAUUACUCAAAAAAAUUGACGGCAUCAUUGUCCCCUUUCCAACGAGUCCAAGAUCACCUCGUUUUGAUGUCGUAUGAAGAAGUUAUGAUCAAAACACUGACGACGUGUUUGCUGAAUCCGAGAGUGACGUGGUAGCUGAGUUGGAGAAGAAUUGCAACUUGGAAAAUACAAUGGUGUAAACGUAUGCAGCGUGGCGAUGUCCUCAUCAUCCUAUAUGCUAAACUUUUACCUAACUCUUGCCCUCACUUAUCUACCAUUAUUUCUUCCUUUCGGUAGAGAGACCCUUUUUGGAGAUUAAUGCCAAAGGGGGAGAAAUAUUGAGAGGGAGUGUAAGGGAGGAGAGAUUGAUAUGUGGAUUGAAAGGGGUAAAGGAGAGGCAUAUAAGAUUUUUCAAAUUUUUGUGUGGUGUGUGCAAGGAUAGCUGAUGCUUGAUAAGGACCACUUAUACUAGUGUGAUGUUCUUGACUUGGGUGGUGGUUGCCUUUACUUUUGUGCUGCUCUGGCAAGUGCGGCAGUGCCGUCCUUCUAGUGCGGCGGUGCCGCCCUCAAUUGGCCAGCAAACUUUGAGUGUAUGACCUGCCAUGAGCAUCAGGUUUAUCAUGUUGACAGCUUGCACCCCACGGAUGCUAAGAUAUAGAAGAGUUCCCAUACUUCAUCUUGAAUAUGUGCAUUCGGCAUUUAAGGCCAAAAUUUAAAAUCCAAUCUAUGCACACAUUUAGGGGGAGCUCACUAUAUCAUAGGAUUCAAAAUCUUAAUGUUUAUCAAUCUCUUGUAAGCUUUAAUUGUGUUGUCAUCAAUCGCCAAAAAGGGGGAGAUUGGAAGUGCAUCUAGCCUUUUGUGGGUUUUAGUGAAUUGAAUGACACCAUGAUUAAAGGUCUAAUAAGUUUGCUAAGUGUUGAAUAAGAUAUUGAUUCUAUUGCACAUACUUGUGGAUUGUGGAUUAACAAGUAUGUUCAAGGCUCAACAAGCAAGCAAACUUGAUGAUAUGCCACAUAGUGUUGAAAUAAAGGCCAAAUUGUGUAUUGUUGUAUUGGAGGAUUAUGGGAACAAUCUAGCUCAAGCAAAAGACAACAAUGCAAAUGAAAUCUAUGGAAUGGCUUCUAUGUUGUGAGAUAUCAUAGCAUCAUGAGAAAGCAAGCAUAUUUGGCAAAUAGCAAAAGAGACAUGAGUUGAUGUUCUUGGAUUAGUCUCUACAAUGGCUUGCUUUUCAUGAACAUGAAGAUAUUGAUAGUGAACGAGCUUUGAUCAAGGUUGAAGAAUGAAUCAAGAAUGCAUAAGUGAGGAAAUGACAAGCAAAGGUCAAAUGAUAAAGGACAUGAUUCAUAUUGGAUAUAAAUUGGUCUCUACAUUAGUUUGCUUGUAUGGAUAAAGAUUUGGUAAAUCACUUUGCAAUAGGUUUGAUCAAGCUAGAAGUAUGAAGAUAAAGAUUGAAGUGAGUAUUGAGUGUCAAGCUAAAAUAGAGAGGAUAUAAGGAACCAUGAAUUGGCUUGACCAUAUUGAUGCUGAUCCAUAUAUGUCUCUAUGUGAGUCAAACUGAAGCUUGAUUGAUCUCAAUAUUUAUAUCUAGAAGAUAUUCAAGCAAGGACACGAUAUUGAAAAAUGGUUAUUCAAGGGAUGCUUAAUGUGAUAAGAUUUGAGUAUGGCUUGAUAAGGUGAAGAUAGCAAGGAAAGGGCUUUGAGGGACUAAGCAGAGGUGAAGGGACAAGCGACAGCUUAAGGACCGAGGUACCAUGGCUAAGGUGAAGAAGAGAGUACUUGCAUUGAGUCUAGGAACUAAUCAAGCUAUAAAGAGUCAUAUUGUGUUGAGGAUCAAAUCAUUAGUGGAAGUGACUUGAAGCCAUGGAGAUGAACUCAUAUUUGUGGAAAUGGUUCAAGUCACGUGCUCAAGGUGUGUUUGCUCAAAGUAAGGAGACAAAGUUAAUUGCAACCCUUUAUGGAGUAAUAUUGAGAAGAAAUGACAUAUGAAUAUAUUGAAGACUCAAGUGGUUAAAUUGGUUAUAUUCUCUUGUUCUUGAGUAUAGGUAUGUUGUACUAUCAAGGAGGAUGCAAUACGAAUGAUAGACAAGUCUCAAGUGCUCAAACUAACCAAACCAAGUCCUAACAUGAAAGAAAACACUUAGCACUCGAAACAAGCUUUCUAAAAAGUCCAAGAUCAUUGCAAACGGAGUUCGGAGUAAAAAGUUAUGGCUUUUUCCGUGAAGUGACUUGUGCUGUUUUUGGGAGGGCGACAGUGCCACACUUAAUGGGCGGCAGUGACGCCCCUGUACAGUCACAACAGCUAGUUGAAGUGGGAUAAGUAUAUAUACUCAUCCCACGGCUCCUAGUCAUGCUGCUGAUGCUCCAGACAUUCCCAACCCAUUCCGAAGCCUCUCCCCAACCUUCUCUUUGUGAGAAUGAAGUGCUUAGUGCACAAUUAAGUGUUGGGGCUAUGUGAUUAAGUGUUAGAGAGCAUAUUAGAGCAAUUGUAACCUUUGAGCAUUUGCUGGGCUUCAUCGAUCUUUGUUGUGCAUUUGUUACUCUUGGAGGUGAAGCCUCCUAAACGGCUAGGCGUCGCCCGGCGAGCUCCCGUGCUUGUGGUGAGCAGCGGGAUAGUUUGUAUCCCUCUCUUGCAGCUAGUGAAAUAACCCCUGAGAACGAGGGCAAGGCAACUUGGUGGCAAGCCAAUUCUUUUGUGGAUACCUCAACAAUGUGGACUUAGGCAAGCCUUGGUGGCGAGAUAAACCAUGGGAUGAACAUCGUGUCAUCUUGUUCUUGUUUUACAUGCUUGCAAGUUCAUAUUGUUGUUAAGGUACUUGUAGGGUUGUGGUCGAUAUACUUGGUGGUACUUGUUCUGCUGCAUAUAACUACUAUUUAGUGACUAACAUACUUGUAGGAAGCUAGGAAAUUUAUCUGAUCUAAAUUUCCUUGAUUAAAUUUUGAAUUGUGCUAAGUCCCCUGUAUAAGGGCGGCAGUGCCACCCUCCAAGAGAGGCAGUGCCGCCCUCUAAUCUGAUAGAGUUUUGAGUUGAAACUAUGCAGAUUUGUCACUAGAUACCUCUAGUACAUCUUCACCAAGUUUGGGCUCUGUUGGACAUACGGUUGUAGAAAGUCUUGACGGUAAAUAAACACUUUUUAACCAUCAACAUACCAUGAGAAAGGACUUAAAUCAGAAUAUUAUCUAGCUAUAGGAGUUAUCACUAACAGAAUUCCACAAGUUUUGGUGAUUGUCUAUUUCUGCAGGGGGUUAUCAGAGUAAGAACAAAAGGAGGCCCACAUGUUAGAUUUACAUAGAGAGAAUAUGUGAAACGUGAACUCAGGAAUACUCCAGAAGACUCAGUCAGACACCACCUGAAAGGUGGGGCCCACAUGCUAUAGGGCAGGGGCGGCCGCCCAGGGGUUCAACCAAUCAGGGUGAACCUCGCGGGUCCUACCUCCACCGACUUUGAGGAUUAAGCUUAAGCGCACGUUUAAGUCGGUUUGAUCCAAUGGCUGUGGUGCUUCCUAGGGGGCUAUAAAUACAAGUCUGACCCCCUGGAGAGGAGUGAGUCAGAUAAUAAGAAUUAUCUGAGAAGAAGUAGACAGAGAGGGGUCCCUCGAAUGGAUCUAUCUCUAUAGGUUCUUAGCCACCAUCUUAAUUAGAUCUCUAUAGUUCUUUAGCAUAGUUACAUAGGAAUAGAUCAAGAAGGAGUCAAGUCAAUCUUGGAGUCUAGAUCUAUCUUCAGUUCUUGGUAAACUCUUAUUCUCUUUGUUAUAUUUUUAUUAGUUCUUGCUACUAUGAAUAUAACUUUGAUCUAUUUGAUUAUAUCGGAAUUGACUUUAUUCUAUUUGCUUAUGUUCUCAAUUAUAUUAUUAUUAGUUUACUUUGAUUAUAUGCUUAGUGAAGUUAGAUUAGAAUUAUGUUUAUGCAUAGGAUGGUUUAGCGCUUACUCAUUAGACCGAUGGGUAAGUGAUAGAUAUUGUGUAGGUGAGGUGCCUAGACCGUAUUUAUCUAUGAUUACCCCUUAUAGUCCGAAGCUUGAGGUAGACCGCGAGAGUGACAGUCCUGUUGAGUCCUUUGUAUUCCUUCUCCUAAUUAUAAGGAUUGUAGAGCACCAUUAUUACAGGAAAGUGAUUGCUAUGUUCAUGAUAUUUCUUGCUAAUAUCACUAUGCAUAGAUAUAACCUUUUCUAGUGAUGAUGCUAGGUGUACUUGCACUAAUCAUUGUAUGCUUUGACAGUAUAGUUAGAAUACUUAGAAUUUAUUCUUGUAGAUUGUUCUAAUACCAUGCUAGUGCUAUAGACUUAGAGUAAUCUAAUUGAGAUAAUUACCAUGUUUAUCGUAUGGCUAUGAAUUCUUAUUUAUCCUCUGUCACUUAUUAUUCAUAUUCAUAUAUUUAUCUUAUGUGACACUUACCCUGCAUGAGAGAUAGAUAAAGACAUGGUUAAGGUAUCCAUGAUUACAUGUAGUGCUCAUUGCUCAUUAUCCAUUGCAAGUCCCUUUCCAGUGGCAAAAAUAUAAAUAACGAUAGCUGGAAUACUCCUGAUUAAAAUGCUACAUCGGUAUUAUCUGUACGCUUGUGGAUCCUUUAUUUAUUUAUUUAUUCCUAGAAAAGCAUAUAGAUUUAAUACCAGCACUUCUACAUCAUGUUAGGGAUGACAACCUAGCUUAUGUGAUGUUAAGUAAUUUUGACGUCGUUGCUAGGGAUAGGUUUAAGAGUCUAUUUUUAGUAAUUGCGUUAAGAAGUGUCAAUAGAAAGGCAGUGCCACCCUAAGUUUUAAUUUCUGUUUGAGCUGAUUUUUUGUAGGCCUAUUCACCCCCCCCCUCUAGGCCUUCUAGGCGACAUCAAGGUCCUUUCACCCACCUCAGCCGCGGCGUGGACCUCCAAAUCCCAGCGCCGAUGUGCACACGACACCGCAGGGCGCGGUGCAGACAUGGACAUGGACAGCGUGGAGUGCAUCUUCCUCCCAGACGCUUCCAUGGACGUGGACGACAUCGAUGGCCACCCGCAUCACGACCACCACGGCCAUCUCGGCCUCCCACUCCACCCCGCCCACCUCCCAUCCUUGGGCGCCAGCCGCACAUUCCCCAAGGUGAAUGCCGGGGGCGGCAGGGUGGGCCCGGCGGGAGCGGGAGCAGGAGCGGCGGGGGCAGUGAGCGCAGUGGGAGCAGGUGGGGGGCUGCCGACGACCAGCAUGCACGAGCUGCUCGAGUGCCCCGUCUGCACCAACUCCAUGUUUCCGCCCAUCCAUCAGGUUGGUGCCUUGCUCCCGGUGCACCGAUUUUAGAUGGGGCUGCGUGUGGAUUUGGGGAUCUCGGUGGGGGAAAGCCUCUGGCCUCUGGUGACCAUUAGGGCGAGCAGCGUUGGGGGCGGGCCAUCGGACGAGCAGCAUCGGGGCAUGGCAUGUGCGGCGGCGAAAGAGGGCGAGCACAACGGUUUGGGAGGUGACGAGAACUUCGGUCAGAACUUAGGCAAGCCUGACCAGCGAAAAACGGACCCCCAUCUCGUUUUAAUGGAGCCAGGCUAGGACCUCUAAAGUGCCUUAUCUAGGCAUGACUUUGGGCUGUUUACAAGCAACCAAAUAGCUAGAAGGUGGCUAUCUGAAGCCUGGUUGGGAGUUAGCCACCCAACCAAACAGACCCUUGAAAGGUCCAAAUGGCUAGAGGGGGGGUGAAUAGCCUAUUUAAAAUUUCUACAAACUUCACUAAACAAGUGAGUUAGUAAAACAAAAGGCGAAGCAAAUCUAGCACUAGCUCAACUAAGCUAUGCAAGCCACCUAUACAAAUCUAGCAAGACGGCUAAACAUUAAAACACAACAACUAAGAAGGCUACACAACAACUCUAUACUAACAAGAACUAAGCUACACAAGCUAAACUAACAAGGUAGGCAAGUAUGUAAAGAGAGAAGAGUGAUUGUUAUACCGACGUUGUAGAGAAGAGAUAUAUCCAAUCAAUCACGUACACAAUCACAAGAGAGACCUCGGCAAGAGAUGACACAAGAUUUUUUACCGAGGUUCACUUGCUUCCCGGCAAGCUACUCCUCGUUGUGGCGAUACACCCACUUGAUGGAUCGCGAGCUAAUUGGCAAUCCAAAGCCAAACCCUCAGCGGGUGCCGCACAUCCACUCACAAGAUGGGGAUCCUCCAAGCCACGAGCAAUCCACUAGAGUAGCCAAUUGCGAUCUCCCGCGGGGAAGGCUCAAGAACCCCUCACAAGUCACUUGGUGAGGCUCGAAACAAUCUCCAAUCACGAGCUCAACACCACCGCUGCUCCAAGCCGUCUAGGGCGUCGGGAAACACCCAAGAGUUACAAGAAAUCCGCAGCAAACUCAAGAAUCAAGUGCCACUAAAUGCAACUCUCAAAGCAAUGCACUUGAAUCUCACUCAAUCUCACUAGGAUGAGCAAUCAAGCAAGGAGAUGAGUGGAGGGAGUAUUCUCUAGCUCAAUGUAUGCCUCAAGUAUUCAAAUGUGCAAGAGUUAACCCCCCAAAGCCGGCCACCAACUAUUUAUAAGCCCCUCAAAGAAACUAGCCGUUGGCUGUUUUUACUGGGCUCAAAUCAGGAGCACCGGACGCUACUAAGUGAGCACCGGACGCUCGACCCCCUGCGUCCGGUGCUCAAGGGAAGGCCACAUGUGUAACAGAACCGACCAAAUUAUAAGAGAUUAAGCCUAAUAGUGACCAUUUGCAUAGUCGAACCAUCACGCUUAAGCCCAUAUAAUCCCGGUAGUCCGUGAAAUCUCAAAGGAUUUCAAACCACACAUCGCAUACAGCCAAGAUCGUAAUAAGUUUAGCGGCCGCCAUCCACAAGUACAUCCAGAUUACAACAUUCAUGAAACACAUCGGAGUACUUAAGUUAUUACAAACCAAGUUCUUCAAGUAGCGGAAGCUUCAUAGUUCGAAAUUACAACACACACGAUAAGUCUGAUACAGUGCCAUAGUUCGGUCAUUCCCACAAAAGCAAAGGAAGAGACGGAGUGACCAUCGCCGUUGGUCUAGUCAUCACCCAUAGCUGGGUACAGACAGAGGAUGCAAUAACCAUAGUACAUUUGACCAUCUGCAAAACAACAUGGGAAUAGGACCCUGAGUACGAGAAGGUACUCAGCUAGACUUACCCGUCAUAAACUUAAAAUAAAGACUCAUCAAGGAUCAUGAAGGCUAUUUAGUGGGGUAGCUGACAACCAUUUUGCAAAGACCGCAAGGUUUUAUUACCCUAACCUACAUAAAUCUUUUCUUCUUUUAAUCUGCUCAAGUUGAAAGUAUCAUUACCUAUUAUCUAGGUUUGCUCCUGUGCUAUUACAAGCAAGUAUGAGACUAUGAUAGUACCUCAUCAUAGCAUUUCUUGAACCAUUCAUCAUUAUAACCCAAGUGUUCCAUAGUCCUUACUACGAGGACGAAGCUCAUGUCAAGUGCUCACUAUCCAGGAGCGAUGGCGAUUCGAAUCGAUUUCUAACCAGCUGGCGAAUUUAUUCCCCACACAAACCACACUCACUGAUCAAGUGAGCUACAGGUCACCGUGUUGCACUAUCCAGGACCAAUUCGCGGGUUCGACAGGCACCGCCCGUACCCGAGGACUGUUCCGGCGACCGAGGUAUCCAAGGUAUACCAAGGUUGCGCGUCGCGCCCUCGUCGUUCUCCUCAACCAUCACCAAUACAGCGCGUACAUCGAGCCGAUUCCCGGCCCGGAUAGUGCUCAGGCUUCGCGGUCGGAACGACUUAUCCUUCCAGCUAAGUGUGGGGCAUGCGUUCAACAUGACAAGAGGGCCGUCAACGAUCGGUCCUUAAUCGACACAGGCAGGGGCACUAUGGUCAACCCACCAUAAGACCCUGCCCGGUCUCCAAAUUCAUUCCACAAUUGGUCAUCCUUUUCCCAAGCAACCAAUGCUUAAUCAAGCAGGUAUCCACCUAUAUCUCGUAGGUGACAGGAAAUCACCCGACUUCUACCGGACUAAGCAAGCUAAGCAUAGACUCCGCGCCUAUCUACAUAGGACAAGGUAGAUAAACGAGUAGGAAUAACAAGGAAUACAUAUGCAGCAACGGUAUCAGGCAACUCCUACCACUUAAAUGCAGUAGUAGAACAAGUAUAGUGCAUCACAUAAGUUAGCGAGAAUAGGGAGACUUAGAAUGCUCCGGGGCUUGCCUUUCUCAAACGUGCUGGGUCGGUGAUCCGGACACUCCUGCAGUUCCUCUCCGGGUUCCGGUGCUUCCGGAGGUUCUUGCUCCUGAGUCUCCUCUGGCUCCUCGGGUCCCACCUCGUUCUCCUGCGAGCCUGUAUGAUGCAUGUGUGCUCAUGAGUGGAGUGUGAGAUGCCCGAAUGGAUGCUUGUAUGAGAAGGUACCAAAGGACCAUGUCAUGAUGCAUGGAUGAUACACUUGGUCAUGCUCAUCACAAGGUAUGCAACAUCAUCCAAGAACAGGCACUUGGAUUAAACAUCUAUUGCAUUCUCUUUUACAAUUAUUUUUCAAAUGCAAUCAGUAACCCACACGAUGCUUCAAAGAUACACCAAACCCAACUUAUUCCAUUCAACCUAGAUAUGCAACCAUUCAUAAUUUUCUUUAUUCAUUUCUAGGCUCAUUAAAAUCACAUGCAAUUCUGUUCAUCAAUAAAUUCCAGAAAAAUUACAGGAGACUACUAGCUAAUCAUAAAGUCUACUGUAAAUUUUUCAUAAUUUUUUUGGUUACUUAUUUUGAGCCACAAAAAUCACAAGAUUAAUUGAUAAGGUAUGUAAAAUCACUCUACUGUGAUAUAAGUGUCAAACAACAGAUUUCAUAUUUUUACAAUUUGUCUAACAUCAUAAGAAACACCCACAAAAUUUUCCAGAUUUAUUGCAUGACCCAUUUAAUUAUUAAAAAUCAUAAAGCACUGCCAUGCAAGCAUUUAAAUUACCAUAAAUUCAUUUAUUCAUCAAAUAAUAUGUACCCACAUUUUCCCAGUGAGCAAACACACAUGCAAAGCCAACAAAUCAAGUUUCACAUUUUUCUGAGCCAUAUUUUAUUUACUAUGCAUUUUCCAAGUUUAACAAAAUCAUGGAUAAAAUAUAUUCACACAGAAAAGUUACUCCAACAUGACAUGCAAUUACAUCAAACUGUAGAUCUGGAAAUAUAGAGCACACCAAAAUUUAUUUCAUUCAAUUUGGAGCUGUAGAACUCAAGAUAUAGAUUUUACAAACUUUAAAUCAAUUUCUGGAAAACACUUUUUCAAGAAAACCGACGAAAAAGGCUACGCACACCCAGAUCUACACCCACCGGGGUACCCCUGCGACUGGCAGUGGGUCCCCGACCCCACCAGUCAGCGAGACCGAGAGGGAGCUCACCUCCGACGAGCGGAUUUCGCUGGCGGUGAGGUCUCCGGCCACGGGGUGAGCACCAACGUGCUCCCCGCAGCAAGACGCACCCAGCGGUACCCUUGGAUCGACCAGAGGACGGCCGGAACACCUCCGGCGAGCAUGCAUGGCGGCACGGCGGCGCUGCUCGUCGUGGCCAGGCUGCUCCGGUGCGGUAGAGCGUGCGCAAACGCCUCUCCGAGCUACCUCACCUUCCUACCGACCUAGCGCAACAGAGAACGAGCGAAAAGAGGCAGGGAAACGCUAGAUCCGUCGCGGCGGAGUACUCCGGCGAGCUCGGGGUAACUCCGGCGAGCGAUUCAUGGCGCUCGACGGACUCUCACCUCGGUAGAACGUUCGCACGAGCUUACCCUAGCGACGGCGAGUGCCCUGGUGCUCUCGGCGUCGAGCUUGAGGCUCUGGUGCGGCCGGCGACGAGCGGCGGAGCUCUCUCCGGCAAUGGCGCGCGGAGGAGCGGCUACUGCUGCGCGGUGCGAGCGAAGGAGGAAGGAGAAGGAGGGCGCGGGGGAGACAGGAUGGAGGGAGUGGCCUGGGAGCCUGCGCCGGCGUCCCGACCAGGGGGGUUAGAGGCCGGCCGCGGCGCGUCCAACGCCGGCGUACGGCCACCACGUGGCCGGCGCCGGGUGGGGCAAGGCGGGCGCCGCGCGCGCGGGAGAGAGGGGAGGGGGAGCGGGCCGCGCUGCCCAGCUGGGCCAGAAGGGAGGCGGGUCGGCCCAGCAGCGCCUGCCCCCUUUCUCCUUUUUUUUUUGAAAUUCUUUUCUCAAAUUCUUUCUAAAUUCAUUUGGACCAAUUUCAAAUCAUUUUCACCUCUUGCUCCCAAAAACAAAGUUGUUCCAAAACAAAAACUCUACAACUUUGCUUUAACAAGCAAGACCAAAUUCCAAACAGAAUUUGAAUUACAAGUUAAAACUCAGUUCUAGGUUUUAAAUAAAUUCUUUUUGGAUAUUUUUGUAUAAAUUCCAUUUCUCAAUUUCCAUAGCUCCAAAAAUUGCACAAAAAUAUUCUAAAUUCUUCUUACACAUAAAGCAACCUAAUUUGAAUAUUUCACAAUUUUAGAAGCAAGCAUCGUAUUUUUAGCAUAUUUAAACUCAUGAAGUGAAGCACAUCAAAUCAUAAUUUGAGAAGAGUGUCAUGCUCAUGAUGCUUAUGCUUGAUGGGAAUGCUUAUGCAUGACUUUGAUGAGACUAAGUGCAUGCUUAACACCUAGGGUGUUACAGCCCUCCCCCCCUUAGGGAAAUCUCGUCCCGAGAUUUUUGGGGUUACUAACCAUUUCUUAUGAAAUUUUGGAUAAACUGUUUUUAAGUAAUCCUCUGUUUCCCAAGUGGCAUCCCUAUCGUCAUGAUGACUCCACACCACCUUGUAUGUUCGAACAACUCUGUUUCGGGUUACUCGCUCCUUGGUAUCCACAAUCCCCACUGGCUGCUCUUUGUACUCUAGGUCUGCUUUUAUCUUGAUUCCUCGAGGUUCAAUUCUUUGCUCCGGUACUUUCAGACAUUUCCGCAGUUGAGACACAUGGAAGACCGGAAAGAUCGAGCUCAUCUCUUCAGGUAACUGAAUCUUGUAGGCCACUGGGCCUUUCCUUUCUAGCACUUGGUAUGGUCCCACAUAUCUGGGUGCAAGCUUGCUUCGAACUCGGAAACGUUGAAUUUUCUUCAUUGGCGUAACCUUGAGAUACACAUAGUCGCCUACUUUGAACUCAAGUUUCCUUCUCCUCUUGUCAGCAUAACUCUUCUGUCGUGAUUGCGCUGCUUGCAUAUGUUGCUGUAUAAUCUGCACCUUUUUCUCGGCAUCAUUCACAAAGUCGAUACCAUAGUAUCUUCUUUCACCAGGUUCCACCCAGUUUAACGGAGUUCGACAUCACCGCCCAUACAAAGCUUCGAACGGGGCCAUCUUGAUGCUCUCUUGAUAACUAUUAUUAUAUGAGAACUCAGCCAAAGGUAACCAUGAUUCCCACGAUCCCUUGGAUGAUAGCACACAGGCCCUCAGCAUAUCUUCUAACACUUGGUUUAGCCUCUCUGUUUGGCCUGAAGUCUGGGGAUGAUACGCUGUGCUUCUUAUCAGACUGGUCCCCAAACUCUUAUGCAUGCGCUCCCAGAAGUGAGCAGUGAACUGCGGUCCUCUAUCCGAUAUGAUGGUUUUGGGGAUACCAUGCAACUUGACGAUCUCAGCCAUAUAUAUAUCAGCAUACUCGGGAGGUCUGUAUGUGUUCUUGACUGGAAUGAAAUGAGCCGACUUGGUUAAUCGAUCUAUGAUUACCCAAAUCGAGUCAUUCCCCUUCCUGGUUGUCGGUAAGCCGGUGAUAAAGUCCAUACUGACCUCUUCCCAUUUCCACUCCGGAACUGAUAACGGUUGUAACAGACCUGCAGGUUUCAUAUGGAUGGCCUUAACUCUGCAACAUGUGUCACAACGGGCCACAUAAGCGGCUAUUUCUUUCUUCAUCUUGGUCCACCAAAAGUGGGGCCUUAGAUCUUGAUACAUUUUGCUGCUGCCAGGAUGAAUAGAAAGCUUAGAGAGAUGGGCUUCAUCCAUGAUGCGAUUCUUCAACUCCCGAUCUUUCGGGACCACUAACCGCUGUUGAAACCACAGUACCCCCUUCUCAUCAACCCGAAACUGAGUCUUUGGGUCAUCUUUGAUCUUCUCUUUGAUGUGGAAAAUACCCUUGUCUGUUUUCUGACCUUCAAUGACUUGACUCUCGAGUGAACAACUGAGUUGUAUAUGACAUAAGACCUCAGGAUGCAUAAGAUUGAAUCCAUCUUCAAACAAUGGUUGCACCACUUGAUAGUGCGGUUUACGACUCAACGCAUCUGCUACCACAUUAGCCUUGCCUGGAUGAUAGUGAACCUCCAGAUCAUAGUCCUUGAUUAACUCUAACCACCGUCGUUGCCUCAUAUUCAGCUCGGACUGAGUGAAGAUGUAUUUCAAACUCUUGUGAUCGGUGUAGAUGUGACACUUAUUUCCUAGCAGAUAAUGUCUCCAAAUCUUCAAGGCAUGCACCACUGCUGCUAACUCGAGGUCGUGCGUUGGGUAAUUGACUUCAUGCUUUCUCAGCUGUCGGGAAGCAUAAGCUAUCACCCUGCCAUCUUGCAUCAACACACAUCCCAGGCCACUCUUCGAUGCGUCACAAAACACAUCAAAAGGCUUCUCUAUAUUGGGUUGCGCCAGAACGGGGGCAGUGGUUAGCAACUUUCGCAAGGUGCGGAAGGCUAACUCACACCCUUCCGUCCAGACAAACUUAUGAUCCUUUUGUAGCAAACUUGUCAUUGGCUUAGCAAUCUUGGAGAAGUCAGGUAUGAAGCGACGAUAAUACCCGGCCAGACCAAGAAAACUUCUAACUUCCGAGACAGAAGUUGGUGCCUUCCAGUCCAUGACUUCCUGCACUUUUGAUGGAUCCACAGCAAUUCCUUCUUCAGAUAGAAUGUGCCCUAGGAAAGGAACUUUCUUCAACCAGAACUCACACUUGCUGAACUUGGCAUAUAACUGGUGCUCUCGUAAUCGUGUCAGCACGAUUCUCAGAUGUUCGACGUGAUCUUGCUCAUUUUCUGAAUACACCAGGAUAUCAUCGAUAAACACCACAACAAACUUAUCCAAUUCUGGCAUAAAGACUGAAUUCAUCAGAUACAUAAAGUAUGCAGGAGCAUUUGUCAACCCAAAGGACAUGACAAGAUACUCAUACAACCCAUAUCUGGUGGAAAAAGCAGUCUUCGGGAUAUCUUGCGGACGAAUCUUGAUUUGGUGAUACCCAGAUCUCAAAUCUAUCUUAGAAAACACUCUGGCCUUGGAUAACUGAUCAAACAGGAUAUCAAUCCUUGGCAGGGGAUACUUAUUCUUGAUCGUCACUGCAUAGAGUGGACGAUAGUCCACGCACAUGCGCAACGACUGAUCCUUCUUUUUCACAAACAACGCUGGACAACCCCAUUCCGACGAGCUUGGCCGGAUGAACCCUUUUUCUAGUAACUCCUUCAGUUGCUUCUUCAACUCUGCGAGUUCGUUUGGUGGCAUCCGGUACGGCCUUCUAGAUAUUGGUGCUGUACCUGGUAUCAACUCGAUUGCAAACUCUACCUCCCUAUCUGGGGGAAGUCCUGGUAACUCCUCGGGAAACACAUCAGGGAACUCACAUACUACGGGUAUGUGUUCUAGGGGAACUACCUGUACUGCACACGAAAGACUGGCGAAGUCCAAACGCCGGGGUAACUUGACCUGAAACACACCCUUCCCUUGCGGCUCUCUGAGCGAAAGGGUUCUAUUCCCAACAUCUAUAACCGUGCCCCAGUCAGUCAUCUUGUUCAUUCCAAUGAUGACAUCCAAAACCAGUCCUGGCAUGACCACAAGGUUUACACGAAACCUCCGGCCACUGAUAUCCAAAGUAACUCCUGUUACCAUUUUAUUAGUCAACACAUCGGCUCCGGCUGAGCUGAUGCGAUAGCCAUAACCUAACUCAGUAACUGGCUGAUCAUGCUUUUGUGCAAAUGCUUGGCUCAUGAAUGAAUGCGAUGAUCCAGAAUCAAACAAAACAACUGCGAGAUGUUGGUUGACAGGAAACAUACCAGCUGUCACCAGUUCUCCUUCCGGGAUCUCCUCAAUCGAGGUAUGGUGCACACGAGCUGGAUAGGUUGGCUGCUGCCUCUUGGGGUAGGGACAUUCCUUAGCAAAGUGCCCCAUCUUGUGGCAGUUAUAGCACAGACCCUUGGGCGCAUUGUUGACGGCAGGUGCUGCAGCUUGAAUUGCCUUUGGCUUGGCAGGAGCUAUCGCCACCUUGUACGGCUUCUGCUGGGUUGGAUGCCCGGUGUUCCUUCUCUGCGGCGGUCGGAACCUAGCACCUGGGGCAGGAGGACGAUACUGCUGUCGCCCUGUCACUGGUGCCCUGGACUGAGAUGAUCCUGCUUCAAAAGCCCUUUUACGUGACUUGGAUGCACUGUAGUUGUUGUUAUUGUUCUCUUGGGUCAGACAGUCACUGAUAUAGGCAUUGAAAGUAGCCCUGGCCCCUGUACCCAUGGUCUUCAGCAUCUUUGGAUUCAAGCCUCUCUGGAAACUAGCAAUCUUCUUAGCCUCCGUGUUCACAAACUCAGGGGCAUAGCGAGCGAGAUUGUUGAAAGCGUGUAGAUACUCCUUCACAGACUUCGUCCCUUAGGACAGCCUCAUGAACUCCCCAACCUUCAUUUCAACCACACCAGGAGGAAUGUAAUUUCCCCAGAAAGUGGUGGCGAAGCGGUUCCAGGUGAUUGGUGUCCCCUCUGGGUAGGUGGUACGGUGAUGGGACCACCAAAUCCUAGCAGGUCCUUGCAACUGAUGUGCCGCAUACUCAGCCUUGAGUUCUUCUGUCAUUCGGAGAAGACGAAACUUCUGCUCCAUGGUGUUGAUCCACUCAUCUGCUUCGAGCGGUUCCAAGGCCUCCUUAAAGAUUGGUGGCUUGGUAUCCAUGAAGUCCUUGAACGAGCUGUACUGGUUGACCUCCCGGCCACCCUGAUUAUCCCCACGACGGGUGUUGUCAGCUAUGUUGCGCAAAGCUUCUUCCAUGUUGCGCUGCAUCUGUUCCAUGUUGCGUUGGCUCCCCAGAAACUGCGCGAAAAACACAUCCGCAGUGUACGGGGGAGGCGGUGGUGGGGGCGGUGUUGGUGCUCUGUCCUCAUUCCAUUGAGCCCCACCUCCGGAUGUACCUGCUCCAAGGCCCGGGUUGCUGUUACCCCCGCCACGUGUUUGCACCAUCUGCAUAUGCCAAUGAUAAGCAAUCAUUAGGAGUUGCCCUCAAUGGUAGAAAAUGUGUAAAAUCGUGCCAUACUGAAUUUACUGAGGGAAUAAAUUCACACAAUAAACAAAGGCACAACAACUCAUCAUCCACGCACAACAUCACUAACAGAUUACUUAACAUUCACGUAGCAAGGUUUGCAUACAUCCAACUUGCCAGCAUACAUACACUAGACUUUUAGCAUUAACUCAUAAAGUCUUACACAGCCCAGAUCCAAAAGUACACGACAUGCCAUGCAACAUACAUCACAAAAGAGGAAGGACUAGCUCUAGAGCCCUAGCAUCUACUCGCUAUGGUCACUGUCCAUGCCGGAACCAUCCUCAUCUUCAUCACCACUAGCAGCUGCUCCUAUCUCGGGAUCCGCGUCCAUCUCGUCCUCAGAGUCUAGCUCAGCUACUCCAGGCAGGUGGUGAGGGUGGAGCUGGUUAUGCAGCUGGUGGAUCUCCUCAUGCAAGUUCUCAUUGUACUCCUCAGCAUUAGCUAGCUGCUGCUCUAGCUCUAGCUGUCGGGCCCUCAAAGUGUCCUCCUCGUGCCAGGCUUCAUUCCUCUGUCCAAGCACAUGGACUAGCAUGCGCUCGCAGUUCCUGUGAGCAGUAGUCACCCUGUCCUUCUGCCCCCGCACUGCAAGCAGGUCCUGACUCAGCUCACUGUUCUCCUGGACCGCCUGGUCUCUCUCUCUGGUCACACGGGCCAACUCUGCCUGUAGCCUCUCAACCUCAGAGUCAAACUCACGCUGCAACUGACGCUUCUCAUCCUGGACGGUGAGAAGAGACCCGGACAAGCGACCCAAACAACGCUCCAGGCCUCCAUAGGUCUUCAUCAACGCGUACAUGGCACUCAUAGCUGCACUGUCACUGUGCUGGUCCUCAUCCGCACUCCUCUCUAGAGCAUUCACCUCGGACUGAUCCCACACCGAAGUGUAAGGGUCACCCCGGGGAAACACCCCAGCGAAGGCGUGGGCCAGCUCCUGUGGAAACCUCUCCAUGAGGUCCCUCAAAACUGCGAAAGUUGCCCUGCUGGCACCGUGGAAAGGCGUGACACCUCGGGACUCGUACAACCAACCGACCCAAGCAGGGUCUCCUCCACUGGUAGGGACAACUGCCUCGAUCCCCACCAGGGUCUCGUCACCAAGCGGCUCCUUAUCCCAAUAGUAGCGAGGCUCCCUUCCUUCGGGAUACCCCAUCGAACUGAGCACCCUCCAAAGCAAAGUGGGCAUCCCAAACUCCUCCAGGAACUUGCUCUUAUGUCGCGAGCUCCUAGCUGCCAACGGAUGGCGAGGGGCCCGCCCACCAGUGGACUUGCGAGCGGUGAGCCUAGUGCGUGCCAUCUGCUGCAAAUGGAAUACCGUGGGUAAGAGUGAGGAUUACCUUUAAUUAUUUUAUUUAGAAUUGGGACAGAUUAAAUUAAGGGGGAAAGUAAGCAAUGAUAUGGAAUGAACAUGAUGUAUGCACGAACUUACGAUCUCACAAACCUAGAAACAAGGGUUAACACUAAGCGGUAUAUGCGGUGGCAUACAACGUUCUCUCAUAACGUAACUAGCGUUCUAAGCGGGAACGUGGUUAGGGUACCUGCAGAAAACUCAUUUCAGCCCACCCACAGUAUGAUCGUGCAGAACAAAAUUUAAAACUAUGCACUUCACAUACACAGACACCCGUCCAUGCAUGUGACGUGUCACUACCCACAUCAUCGCCCUAAUGACGGCAUCGCCUCUCAGGACGGAAUUCCCAGCAUGCGGUACUGUUCCCGAGACACACCAAACAUGUGUGCAUGACACAGUACCUAGCAACACUCCCCUAGACCGGCAGUGUAUCCGAUCAUGCUCUCACAGCUCCCACUUACCGUGGCGUAGAGGAAAAAGGGAUCCAUACAUUACCACUCAAAUGAAUGGCACUCAUACUAUUGCACGCCGUAUGAGCGACGAAAAUAGAAAUAUGAUGCAUUCACCCCUGUAACACCCUAGGUGUUAAGCAUGCACUUAGCCUUGGCAAAGCAAUGCAUAAGCAUCCUCAUCAAUCAUAAGCAUCAUGAGCAUGUCAUUCUUUUCAAGUAUGAUUUUAUGUGCAUCAUUUCAUGUGUUUUAAAUAUGUUAAAAAUAUGAUGCUUGCUUCUAAAAUUGUGAAAUAUUCAAAUUAGGUUGCUUUAUGUGUAAGAAGAAUUUAGAAUAUUUUUGUGCAAUUUUUGGAGCUAUGGAAUUUGAGAAAUAGAAUUUAUACAAAUUUUCCCAAAAUGAAUUUAUUUAAAACCUAGAACUGAGUUUUAACUUGUAAUUCAAAUUUUGUUUGGAAUUUGGUCUUGCUUGUCAAAGCAAAGUUGUAGAGUUUUUAAUUUGGAACAACUUUGUUUUUGGGAGCAAGAGGAGAAAAUGAUUUUAAAUUGGUCCAAAUGAAUUUAGAAAGAAUUUGAGAAAAGAAAUUCAAAAAAAAAGGGAAAGGGGGCAGGCGCUGCUGGGCCGACCCGCCUCCCUUCUGGCCCAGCUGGACAGCGCGGCCCGCUCCCCCUCCCCUCUCUCCCGCGCGCGCGGCGCCCGCCUCGCUCCACCCGGCGCCGGCCACGUGGCAGCCGUACGCCGGCGUUGGACGCGCCGCGGCCGGCCUCCAACCCCCCUGGUCGGGACGCCGGCGCAGGCUCCCAGGCCACUCCCUCCAUUCUGUCUCCCCCGCGCCCUCCUUCUCCUUCCUCCUCCGCUCGCACCACGCAGCAGCAGCCGCUCCUCCGCGCGCCAUUGCCGGAGAGAGCUCCGCCGCUCGUCGCCGGCCACACCAGAGCCUCAAGCUCGACGCCGAGAGCACCAGGGCACUCGCCGUCGCUAGGGUAAGCUCGUGCGAACGUUCCACCGAGGUGAGAGUCCGUCGAGCGCCGUGAAUCGCUCGCCGGAGUCACCCCGAGCUCGCCGGAGUACUCCGCCGCGACGGAUCUAGCGUUUCCCUGCCUCUUUUCGCUCGUUCUCUAUUGCGCUAGGUCGGUAGGAAGGUGAGGAAGCUCGGAGAGGCGUUUGCGCACGCUCUACCGCGCCGGAGCAGCCUGGCCACGGCGAGCAGCGCCGCCGUGCCGCCAUGCAUGCUCGCCGGAGGUGUUCCGGCCGUCCUCUGGUCGAUCCAAGGGUACCGCUGGGUGCGUCUUGCUGCGGGGAGCACGUUGGUGCUCACCCCGUGGCCGGAGACCUCACCGCCGGCGAGAUCCGCUCGUCGGAGGUGAGCUCCCUCUCGGUCUCGCUGACUGGUGGGGUCGGGGACCCACUGUCAGUCGCAGGGGUACCCCGGUGGGUGUAGAUCUGGGUGUGCGUAGCCUUUUUCGUCGGUUUUCUUGAAAAAGUGUUUUCCACAAAUUGAUUUAAAGUUUGUAAAAUCUAUAUCUUGAGUUCUACAGCUCCAAAUUGAAUGAAAUAAAUUUUGGUGUGCUCUAUAUUUCCAGAUCUACAGUUUGAUGUAAUUGCAUGUCAUGUUGGAGUAACUUUUCUGUGUGAAUAUAUUUUAUCCAUGAUUUUGUUAAACUUGGAAAAUGCAUAGUAAAUAAAAUAUGGCUCAGAAAAAUGUGAAACUUGAUUUGUUGGCUUUGCAUGUGUGUUUGCUCACUGGGAAAAAUUGGGUACAUAUUAUUUGGUGUAUAAAUGAAUUUAUGGUAAUUUAAAUGCUUGCAUGGCAGUACUUUAUGAUUUUUAAUAAUUAAAUGGGUCAUGCAAUAAAUCUGGAAAAUUUUGUGGGUGUUUCUUAUGAUAUUAUGCAAAUUGUAAAAAUAUGAAAUCUGUUGUUUAACACUUGUAUCCCAGUAGAGUGAUUUUACUUGCCUUAUUAAUUAAUCUUGUGAUUUUUGUGGCUCAAAAUAAGCAUCCAAAAAUCAUGAAAAAUUUGCAGUAGACUUUAUGCUUAGCUAGUAGUCUCCUGUAAUUUUUGUGGAAUUUAUUGAUGAACAGAAUUGCAUUUGAUUUUUAAUGGGCUUAGAAAUGAAUAAAGAAAAUUAUGAAUGGUUGUGUAUGUAGGUUGAAUGAAAUAAGUUGGGUUUGGUGUAUCUUUGAAGCAUCAUGGGGGUUGCUGGUUGCAUUUGAAAAAUAUCUGUAGAAGAGAAUGCAACAGAUGCUUAAUUUAGUUAUUGUUCCCGGAUGAUGUUGACUACCUUGUAAUAAGCGUGACCCAGUGCAUCACCUAUGCAUCAUAACAUGACUCCUUUGACACUCUCUCUUACAAGCAUCCACUCGGGCAUCUCACACUCCACUCAUGAGCAUAUAUGCAUCAUACAGGCUCGCAGGAGAACGAAGUGGGACCCGAGGAACCCGAGGAGAUAGAGGAGCAGGAACCUCCGGAAGCACAGGAACCCGGAGAGGAAUUUCAAGAGUGUCCGGAUCACCGACCCAGCACGUUUGAGAAAGGCAAGCCCCGGAGCAUUCUAAGUCUCCCUAUUCUCGCUAACUUAUAUAAAGUGCUAUACUUGUUCUACUGUAUUGCAUAUUAAGUGAUAGGAGUUGCCUGAUACCGUUGCUGCAUGAGUACUCCUUGUUAUUCCUACUCAUUCAACUACCUUGUCCUAUGUAGAUAGGCACGGAGUCUAUGCUUAGCUUGCUUAGUUCGGUAGAAGUCGGGUGAUUCCCUGUCACCUGCGAGAUAUAGGUGGAUACCUGCUUGAUUAAGCAUUGGUUGCUCGGGGAAAAGAAUAACCAAGUGUGGAAUGAAUUUGGAGACCGGGCGGGGUCUUAUGGUGGGUUGACCAUGGUGCCCCUGCCUGUGUCGAUUAAGGACCGAUCGUUGACGGCCCUCUUGUCAUGUUGAACGCAUGCCCCACACUUAGCUGGAAGGAUAAGUCGUUCCGACCGCGAAGCCUGAACACUAUCCGGGCCGGGAAUCGAGCCGCCAUGCGCUGUAUUGGUGAUGGUUGAGGAGAACGACGAGGGCGCGGCGCGCAACCUUGGUAUACCCUGGAUACCUCGGUCGCCGGAACGGUCCUCGGGUACUGGCGGUGCCUGCCGAACCCGCGAAUUGGUCCUGGAUAGUGUAAUACGGUGAUCUGUAGCUCACUUGAUCAGUGAGUGUGGUUUGUGUGGGGAAUACCUCGCCAGCUGGUUAGAAAUCGAUUCGAAUCGCCAUCGCUCCUGGAUAGUGAGCACUUGACAUGAGCUUCGUCCUCGUAGUAAGGACUAUGAAACACUUGGGUUAUAAUGAUGAAUGGUUUAGGAAAUGCUUUAUGAGGUACUAUCAUAGUCUCAUACUUGCUUGAAAUAGCACAGGAGCAAACCUAGAUAAUAGGUAAUGAUACUUUCAACUUGAGCAAAUUAAAAGAAGAAAAGAUUUAGGUAGGUUAGGGUAAUAAAACCUUGCGGUCUUUGCAAAAUGGUUGUCAGCUACCCCACCAAAUAGCCUUCAUGAUCCUUGAUGAGUCUUUAUUUUAAGUUUAUGACGGGUAAGUCUAGCUGAGUACCUUCUCGUACUCAGGGUUCUAUUCCCAUGUUGUUUUGCAGAUGGUCAAAUGUACUAUGGUUAUUGCAUCCUCUGUCUGUACCCAGCUAUGGGUGAUGACUAGACCAAGGGCGAUGGUCACUCCGUCUCUUCCUUUGCUUUUGUGGGAAUGACCAAACUAUGGCACUGUAUCAGACUUAUCGUGUGUGUUGUAAUUUCGAACUAUGAAGCUUCCGCUACUUGAAGAACUUGGUUUGUAAUAACUUAAGUACUCCGAUGUGUUUCAUGAAUGUUGUAAUUUGGAUGUACUUAUGGAUGACGGCCGCUAAACUUAUUACGAUCUUGGUUGUAUGCGAUAUGUGGUUUGAAAUCCUUCGAGAUUUCACGGACUACCGGGAUUAUAUGGGCUUAAGCGUGAUGGUUCGACUAUGCAAAUGGUCACUAUUAGGCUUAAUCUCUUAUAAUUUGGUCGGUUCUGUUACAGCUGGCAUCGGAGCAAGGUUUAGCGAGUUACUGUUCAUAAGUACGUUUUAAACAAAAAUCUAAACCGGUUUAGUAAAAGAUUUAAUUAAUUAAUUAAUAAUGAUCAAGGUGUUAAACUAAGUUUUGGGAAAAUUAUCUAGUGUGCCAUGGUCAUAUCCUUUAUGCCCAGUUAAGGACUCUAAGGUGGCUAGCUAAGUACUGACUUGGGGGUUAAUGCAUCAUAUUUUUAUUUCGUCGCUCAUACGGCGUGCAAUAGUAUGAGUGCCAUUCAUUUGAGUGGUAAUGUAUGGAUCAAUUCUUCCUCUACGCCAUGGUAAGUGGGAGUUGUGAGCGCAUGAUCGGAUACACUGCCGGUCUAGGGAAGUGUUGUCAGGUGCUGUGUCAUGCACACAUGUUGGUGUGUCUUGGGAACAGUACCGCAUGCUGGGAAUUCCGUCCUGAGAGACGAUGCCGUCAUUAGGGCGAUGAUGUGGGUAGUGACACGUCACAUGCAUGGACGGGUGUCUGUGUAUGUGAAGUGUAUAGUUUUAAAUUUUGUUCUGCACGAUCAUACUGUGGGUGGGCUGAAAUGAGUUUUCUGCAGGUACCCUAACCACGUUCUCGCUUAGAACGCUAGUUACGUUAUGAGCGAACGUUGUAUGCCACCGCGUAUACCGCUUAGUGUUAACCUUUGUUUUCUAAGUUUGUGAGAUCGUAAGUUCGUACAUGCAUCAUGUGCAUUUCAUAUCAUUGCUUACUUUCCCCCUUAAUUUAAUCUGUCCCAAUUUUAAAUGAAAUAAAUAAAGGUAAUCCUCGCUCUUACCCACGGUAUUCCAUUUGCAGCAGAUGGCACGCACUAGGCUCACCGCUCGCAAGUCCACUGGUGGGCGGGCCCCUCGCCGUCCGUUGGCAGCUAGGAGCUCGCGACAUAAGAGCAAGUUCCUAGAGGAGUUUGGGAUGCCCACUUUGCUUUGGAGGGUGCUCAGUUCGAUGGGGUAUCCUGAAGGAAGGGAGCCUCGCUACUAUUGGGAUAAGGAGCCGCUUGGUGACGAGACCCUGGUGGGGAUCGAGGCAGUUGUCCCUACCAGUGGAGGAGACCCUGCUUGGGGCGGUUGGGUGUACGAGUCCCGAGGUGUCACGCCUUUCCACGGUGCCAGCAGGGCAGCUUUCGCAGUUUCGAGGGACCUCAUGGAGAGGUUUCCACAGGAGCUGGCCCACGCCUUCGCUGGGGUGUUUCCCCGGGGUGACCCUUACACUUCGGUGUGGGAUCAGUCCGAGGUGAAUGCUCUAGAGAGGAGUGCGGAUGAGGACCCGCACAGUGACAGUGCAGCUAUGAGUGCCAUGUACGCGUUGAUGAAGACCUAUGGAGGCCUGGAGCGUUGUUUGGGUCGCUUGUCCGGGUCUCUUCUCACCGUCCAGGAUGAGAAGCGUCAGUUGCAGCGUGAGUUUGACUCUGAGGUUGAGAGGCUACAGGCAGAGUUGGCUCGUGUGACCAGAGAGAGAGACCAGGCAGUCCAGAAGAACAGUGAGCUGAGUCAGGACCUGCUUGCAGUGCGAGAGCAGAAGGACAGGGUGACUACUGCUCACAGGAACUGCGAGCGCAUGCUAGUCCAUGUGCUUGGACAGAGGAAUGAAGCCUGGCACGAGGAGGACACUUUGAGGGCCCGACAGCUAGAGCUAGAGCAGCAGCUAGCUAAUGCUGAGGAGUACAAUGAAAACUUGCAUGAGGAGAUCCACCAGCUGCAUAACCAGCUCCACCCUCACCACCUGCCUAGAGCAGCGGAGCUAGACUCUGAGGACGAGAUGGACGUGGAUCCCGAGAUAGGAGCAGCUGCUAGUGGUGAUGAAGAUGAGGAUGGCUCCGGCAUGGACAGUGACCAUAGCGAGUAGAUGCUAGGGCUCUAGAGCUAGUCUUUCCUCUUUUGUGAUGUAUGUUGCAUGGCAUGUCAUGUACUUUUGGAUCUGGGCUGUGUAAGACUUUAUGAGUUGAUGCUGAAAGUCCAGUGUAUGUAUGCUGGCAAGUUGGAUGUACGCGAACCUUGUUGCGUGAAUGUUAAGUAAUCUGUUAGUGAUGUUGUGCGUGGAUGACGAGUUGUUGUGCCUUUGUUUAUUGUGUGAAUUUAUUCCCUCAGUAAAUUCAGUAUGGCACGAUUUUACACAUUUUCUACCGGUUGAUGGCAACUCCUAACGAUUGCUUAUCAUUGGCGUAUGCAGAUGGUGCAAACACGUGGCGGGGGUAACAGCAAUCCGGGUCUUGGAGCAGGUACAUCCGGAGGUGGGGCUCAACAGAAUGAGGACAGAGCACCAACACCGCCCCCACCACCGCCUCCCCCGUACAGGGGCCAGGGCUACUUUCAAUGCCUAUAUCAGUGACUGUCUGACCCAAGAGAACAAUAACAACAACUACAGUGCAUCCAAGUCACGUAAAAGGGCUUUUGAAGCAGGAUCAUCCCAGUCCAGGGCACCAGUGGCAGGGCGACAGCAGUAUCGUCCUCCUGCCCCGGGUGCUAAGUUCCGACCACCGCAGAGAAGGAACACCGGGCAUCCAACCCAGCAGAAGCCAUACAAGGUGGUGAUAGCUCCUGCCAAGCCAAAGGCAAUUCAAGCCGCAGCACCUGCCACCAACAAUGCGCCCAAGGGUCCGUGCUAUAACUGCCACAAGAUGGGGCACUUUGCUAAGGAAUGUCCCUACCCCAAAAGGCAGCAGCCAACCUAUCCAGCUCGUGUGCAUCAUUCCUCGAUUGAGGAAAUCCCGGAAGGAGAACCGGUAACAGCUGGUAUGUUUUCUGUCAACCAACAUCUUGCAGUUGUUUUGUUUGAUUCUGGAUCAUCGCAUUCAUUCAUGAGCCAAGCAUUUGCACAAAAGCAUAAUCAACCAGUUACAGAUCUGGGCUAUGGCUACCGCAUCAGCUCAGCAGGGGCAGAUGUGUUGACCAAUAGAGUGGUCCGAGGGGCAACCCUGGAUAUAAGUGGCCGAGUUUUUCGGGUAAAUCUAGUGGUCAUGCCUGGGUUAGUUUUGGAUGUUAUCAUGGGCAUGAACUGGAUGAGAGAAUGGGAUGCUGUCAUAGAUACUGGAAAGAGGAUGUUAUCUCUCAGAGAACCACAGGGCAGUAACUCUUUUCAAGUACCUCUGCCCCGUCGUCUUGACUUUGCUAGCAUCUCCUGUGCUACGCACGUGGUCCCUUUACCACAGAUCCCAGUAGUCUGUGAGUUCCCUGAUGUGUUUCCCGAGGAGUUACCAGGACUUCCCCUAGAUAGGGAGGUAGAGUUUGCAAUCGAGUUGAUACCAGGUACAGCACCAAUAUCUAGAAGGCCGUACCGGAUGCCACCAAACGAACUCGCAGAGUUGAAGAAGCAACUGAAGGAGUUACUAGAAAAAGGGUUCAUCCGGCCCAGCUCGUCGGAAUGGGGUUGGCCAGCGUUGUUUGUGAAAAAGAAGGAUCAGUCGUUGCGCAUGUGCGUGGACUAUCGUCCACUCAAUGCAGUGACAAUCAAAAAUAAGUAUCCCUUGCCAAGGAUUGAUAUCCUGUUUGAUCAGUUAUCCAAGGCAAGAGUGUUUUCUAAGAUAGAUUUGAGAUCUGGGUAUCACCAAAUCAAGAUUCGUCCGCAAGAUAUCCCGAAGACUGCUUUUUCCACCAGGUAUGGGUUGUACGAGUAUCUUGUCAUGUCCUUUGGGUUGACAAAUGCUCCUGCAUACUUUAUGUAUCUGAUGAAUUCAGUCUUUAUGCCAGAAUUGGAUAAGUUUGUUGUAGUGUUUAUCGAUGAUAUCCUGGUGUAUUCAGAAAAUGAGCAAGAUCACGCCGAGCAUCUGAGAAUCGUGCUGACACGGUUACGAGAGCAUCAGUUAUAUGCCAAGUUCAGCAAGUGUGAGUUCUGGUUAAAGAAAGUUCCUUUCCUAGGGCACAUUCUGUCUGAAGAAGGAAUUGUUGUGGAUCCAUCAAAAGUGCAGGAAGUCAUGGACUGGAAGGCACCAACUUCGGUCUCGGAAGUUAGAAGUUUUCUUGGUCUGGCCGGGUAUUAUCGUCGUUUUAUACCUGACUUCUCCAAGAUUGCUAAGCCAAUGACAAGUUUGCUACAAAAGGACCAUAAGUUUGUCUGGGCGGAAGGGUGUGAGUUAGCCUUCCGCACCUUGCGAAAGUUGCUAACCACUGCUCCCGUUCUGGCACAACCUAAUAUAGAGAAGCCUUUUGAUGUGUUUUGUGACGCAUCGAAGAGUGGCCUGGGGUGUGUGUUGAUGCAAGAUGGCAGGGUGAUAGCUUAUGCUUCCUGACAGUUGAGAAAGCAUGAAGUCAACUAUCCAACGCACGACCUUGAGUUAGCAGCCGUGGUACAUGCUUUGAAGAUCUAGAGACAUUAUCUGCUAGGAAAUAAGUGUCACAUUUACACCGAUCACAAGAGUUUGAAGUACAUCUUCACUCAGUCCGAGCUGAAUAUGAGGCAACGACGGUGGUUAGAGCUAAUCAAGGAUUAUGACCUGGAAGUUCACUAUCAUCCAGGCAAAGCUAAUGUGGUCGCAGAUGCUUUGAGUCGCAAACUACACUAUCAAAUGGUUCAACCGUUGUUUGAAGAUGGGUUCAAUCUUAUGCAUCCUGAGGUCUUAUGUCAUAUACAACUCAGUUGUUCGCUCGAGAGUCAAGUCAUUGAAGGUCAGAAAACAGACAAGGCUAUUUUCCACAUCAAAGAGAAGAUCAAAGAUGACCCAAAGACUCAGUUUCGGGUUGAUGAGAAGGGGGUACUGUGGUUUCAACAGCGGUUAGUGGUCCCGAAAGAUCGGGAAUUGAAGAAUCGCAUCAUGGAUGAAGCUCAUCUCUCUAAGCUUUCUAUUCAUCCUGGCAGUAGCAAAAUGUAUCAAUAUCUAAGGCCCCACUUUUGGUGGACCAAGAUGAAGAAAGAAAUAGCCGCUUACGUGGCCCGUUGUGACACGUGUUGCAGAGUUAAGGCCAUCCAUAUGAAACCUGCAAGUCUGUUACAACCGUUAUCAGUUCUGGAGUGGAAAUGGGAAGAGGUCAGUAUGGACUUUAUCACCGGCUUACCGACAACCAGGAAGGGGAAUGACUCGAUUUGGGUAAUCAUAGAUCGAUUAACCAAGUCGGCUCAUUUCAUUCCAGUCAAGAACACAUACAGACCUCCCGAGUAUGCUGAUAUAUAUAUGGCUGAGAUCGUCAAGUUGCAUGGUAUCCCCAAAACCAUCAUAUCGGAUAGAGGACCGCAGUUCACCGCUCACUUCUGGGAGCGCAUGCAUAAGAGUUUGGGGACCAGUCUGAUAAGAAGCACGGCAUACCAUCCCCAGACUUCAGGCCAAACUGAAAGGCUAAAUCAAGUGUUAGAAGAUAUGCUGAGGGCCUGUGUGUUAUCAUCCAAAGGAUCGUGGGAAUCGUGGUUACCUUUGGCUGAGUUCUCCUACAAUAAUAGUUAUCAAGAGAGCAUCAAGAUGGCCCCGUUCGAAGCUUUGUAUGGUCGAAGAUGUAGAACUUCGUUAAACUGGGUGGAACCUGGGGAAAGAAGAUACUAUGGUAUCGACUUUGUGAAUGAUGCCGAGAAAAAGGUGCAGAUUAUACAGCAACAUAUGCAAGCAGCGCAAUCACGGCAGAAGAGUUAUGCUGACAAGAGGAGAAGGCCGCUUGAGUUCAAAGUAGGCGACUAUGUGUAUCUCAAGGUUACGCCAAUGAAGAAAGUUCAACGUUUCCGAGUUCGAAGCAAGCUUGCACCCAAAUAUGUGGGACCAUACCAAGUGCUAGAAAGGAAAGGCCCAGUGGCCUACAAGGUUCAGUUACCUGAGGAGAUGAGCUCGAUCUUUCCGGUCUUCCAUGUGUCGCAACUACGGAAAUGUUUGAAGGUGCCGGAGCAAAGAAUCGAACAUCGAGGAAUCAAGAUAAAAGCGGACUUGGAAUAUAAAGAGCAGCCAGUGGGAAUUGUGGAUACCAAGGAGCGAGUAACCCGAAACAGAGUUGUUCGAACAUACAAGGUGGUUUGGAGUCAUCAUGACGAUAGGGAUGCCACUUGGGAAACAGAGGAUUACUUAAAAACAGUUUAUCCAAAAUUUCACAAGAAAUGGUUAGUAACCCAAAAUCUCGGGACGAGAUUUCCCUAAGGGGGGAAGGGCUAUAACACCCUAGGUGUUAAGCAUGCACUUAGCCUUGGCAAAGCAAUGCAUAAGCAUCCUCAUCAAUCAUAAGCAUCAUGAGCAUGUCAUUCUUUUCAAGUAUGAUUUUAUGUGCAUCAUUUCAUGUGUUUUAAAUAUGUUAAAAAUAUGAUGCUUGCUUCUAAAAUUGUGAAAUAUUCAAAUUAGGUUGCUUUAUGUGUAAGAAGAAUUUAGAAUAUUUUUGUGCAAUUUUUGGAGCUAUGGAAUUUGAGAAAUAGAAUUUAUACAAAUUUUCCCAAAAUGAAUUUAUUUAAAACCUAGAACUGAGUUUUAACUUGUAAUUCAAAUUUUGUUUGGAAUUUGGUCUUGCUUGUCAAAGCAAAGUUGUAGAGUUUUUAAUUUGGAACAACUUUGUUUUUGGGAGCAAGAGGUAAAAAUGAUUUAAAAUUGGUCCAAAUGAAUUUAGAAAGAAUUUGAGAAAAGAAAUUCAAAAAAAAAGGGAAAGGGGGCAGGCGCUGCUGGGCCGACCCGCCUCCCUUCUGGCCCAGCUGGACAGCGCGGCCCGCGACCCACUGUCAGUCGCAGGGGUACCCCGGUGGGUGUAGAUCUGGGUGUGCGUAGCCUUUUUCGUCGGUUUUCUUGAAAAAGUGUUUUCCAGAAAUUGAUUUAAAGUUUGUAAAAUCUAUAUCUUGAGUUCUACAGCUCCAAAUUGACUGAAAUAAAUUUUGGUGUGCUCUAUAUUUCCAGAUCUACAGUUUGAUGUAAUUGCAUGUCAUGUUGGAGUAACUUUUCUGUGUGAAUAUAUUUUAUCCAUGAUUUUGUUAAACUUGGAAAAUGCAUAGUAAAUAAAAUAUGGCUCAGAAAAAUGUGAAACUUGAUUUGUUGGCUUUGCAUGUGUGUUUGCUCACUGGGCAAAAGUGGGUACAUAUUAUUUGGUGUAUAAAUGAAUUUAUGGUAAUUUAAAUGCUUGCAUGGCAGUACUUUAUGAUUUUUAAUAAUUAAAUGGGUCAUGCAAUAAAUCUGGAAAAUUUUGUGGGUGUUUCUUAUGAUAUUAUGCAAAUUGUAAAAAUAUGAAAUCUGUUGUUUAACACUUGUAUCCCAGUAGAGUGAUUUUACUUGCCUUAUUAAUUAAUCUUGUGAUUUUUGUGGCUCAAAAUAAGUAUCCAAAAAUCAUGAAAAAUUUACAGUAGACUUUAUGCUUAGCUAGUAGUCUCCUGUAAUUUUUGUGGAAUUUAUUGAUGAACAGAAUUGCAUUUGAUUUUUAAUGGGCUUAGAAAUGAAUAAAGAAAAUUAUGAAUGGUUGUGUAUGUAGGUUGAAUGAAAUAAGUUGGGUUUGGUGUAUCUUUGAAGCAUCAUGGGGGUUGCUGGUUGCAUUUGAAAAAUAUCUGUAGAAGAGAAUGCAACAGAUGCUUAAUUUAGUUAUUGUUCCCGGAUGAUGUUGACUACCUUGUAAUAAGCACGACCCAGUGCAUCACCUAUGCAUCAUAACAUGACUCCUUCGACACUCUCUCUUACAAGCAUCCACUCGGGCAUCUCACACUCCACUCAUGAGCAUAUAUGCAUCAUACAGGCUCGCAGGAGAACGAAGUGGGACCCGAGGAACCCGAGGAGAUACAUGAGCAGGAACCUCCGGAAGCAUAGGAACCCGGAGAGGAAUUUCAAGAGUGUCCGGAUCACCGACCCAGCACGUUUGAGAAAGGCAAGCCCCGGAGCAUUCUAAGUCUCCCUAUUCUCGCUAACUUAUAUAAAGUGCUAUACUUGUUCUACUGUAUUGCAUAUUAAGUGAUAGGAGUUGCCUGAUACCGUUGCUGCAUGAGUACUCCUUGUUAUUCCUACUCAUUCAACUACCUUGUCCUAUGUAGAUAGGCACGGAGUCUAUGCUUAGCUUGCUUAGUUCGGUAGAAGUCGGGUGAUUCCCUGUCACCUGCGAGAUAUAGGUGGAUACCUGCUUGAUUAAGCAUUGGUUGCUCGGGGAAAAGAAUAACCAAGUGUGGAAUGAAUUUGGAGACCGGGCGGGGUCUUAUGGUGGGUUGACCAUGGUGCCCCUGCCUGUGUCGAUUAAGGACCGAUCGUUGACGGCCCUCUUGUCAUGUUGAACGCAUGCCCCACACUUAGCUGGAAGGAUAAGUCGUUCCGACCGCGAAGCCUGAACACUAUCCGGGCCGGGAAUCGAGCCGCCAUGCGCUGUAUUGGUGAUGGUUGAGGAGAACGACGAGGGCGCGGCGCGCAACCUUGGUAUACCUUGGAUACCUCGGUCGCCGGAACGGUCCUCGGGUACUGGCGGUGCCUGCCGAACCCGCGAAUUGGUCCUGGAUAGUGUAAUACGGUGAUCUGUAGCUCACUUGAUCAGUGAGUGUGGUUUGUGUGGGGAAUACCUCGCCAGCUGGUUAGAAAUCGAUUCGAAUCGCCAUCGCUCCUGGAUAGUGAGCACUUGACAUGAGCUUCGUCCUCGUAGUAAGGACUAUGAAACACUUGGGUUAUAAUGAUGAAUGGUUUAGGAAAUGCUUUAUGAGGUACUAUCAUAGUCUCAUACUUGCUUGUAAUAGCACAGGAGCAAACCUAGAUAAUAGGUAAUGAUACUUUCAACUUGAGCAAAUUAAAAGAAGAAAAGAUUUAGGUAGGUUAGGGUAAUAAAACCUUGCGGUCUUUGCAAAAUGGUUGUCAGCUACCCCACCAAAUAGCCUUCAUGAUCCUUGAUGAGUCUUUAUUUUAAGUUUAUGACGGGUAAGUCUAGCUGAGUACCUUCUCGUACUCAGGGUUCUAUUCCCAUGUUGUUUUGCAGAUGGUCAAAUGUACUAUGGUUAUUGCAUCCUCUGUCUGUACCCAGCUAUGGGUGAUGACUAGACCAAGGGCGAUGGUCACUCCGUCUCUUCCUUUGCUUUUGUGGGAAUGACCAAACUAUGGCACUGUAUCAGACUUAUCGUGUGUGUUGUAAUUUCGAACUAUGAAGCUUCCGCUACUUGAAGAACUUGGUUUGUAAUAACUUAAGUACUCCGAUGUGUUUCAUGAAUGUUGUAAUUUGGAUGUACUUAUGGAUGACGGCCGCUAAACUUAUUACGAUCUUGGUUGUAUGCGAUAUGUGGUUUGAAAUCCUUCGAGAUUUCACGGACUACCGGGAUUAUAUGGGCUUAAGCGUGAUGGUUCGACUAUGCAAAUGGUCACUAUUAGGCUUAAUCUCUUAUAAUUUGGUCGGUUCUGUUACUGCUGGCAUCGGAGCAAGGUUUAGCGAGUUACUGUUCAUAAGUACGUUUUAAACAAAAAUCUAAACCGGUUUAGUAAAAGAUUUAAUUAAUUAAUUAAUAAUGAUCAAGGUGUUAAACUAAGUUUUCAGAAAAUUAUCUAGUGUGCCAUGGUCAUAUCCUUUAUGCCCAGUUAAGGACUCUAAGGUGGCUAGCUAAGUACUGACUUGGGGGUAAUGCAUCAUAUUUUUAUUUCGUCGCUCAUACGGCGUGCAAUAGUAUGAGUGCCAUUCAUUUGAGUGGUAAUGUAUGGAUCAAUUCUUCCUCUACGCCAUGGUAAGUGGGAGUUGUGAGCGCAUGAUCGGAUACACUGCUGGUCUAGGGAAGUGUUGUCAGGUGCUGUGUCAUGCACACAUGUUGGUGUGUCUUGGGAACAGUACCGCAUGCUGGGAAUUCCGUCCUGAGAGACGAUGCCGUCAUUAGGGCGAUGAUGUGGGUAGUGACACGUCACAUGCAUGGACGGGUGUCUGUGUAUGUGAAGUGUAUAGUUUUAAAUUUUGUUCUGCACGAUCAUACUGUGGGUGGGCUGAAAUGAGUUUUCUGCAGGUACCCUAACCACGUUCUCGCUUAGAACGCUAGUUACGUUAUGAGCGAACGUUGUAUGCCACCGCGUAUACCGCUUAGUGUUAACCUUUGUUUUCUAAGUUUGUGAGAUCGUAAGUUCGUACAUGCAUCAUGUGCAUUUCAUAUCAUUGCUUACUUUCCCCCUUAAUUUAAUCUGUCCCAAUUUUAAAUGAAAUAAAUAAAGGUAAUCCUCGCUCUUACCCACGGUAUUCCAUUUGCAGCAGAUGGCACGCACUAGGCUCACCGCUCGCAAGUCCACUGGUGGGCGGGCCCCUCGCCGUCCGUUGGCAGCUAGGAGCUCGCGACAUAAGAGCAAGUUCCUAGAGGAGUUUGGGAUGCCCACUUUGCUUUGGAGGGUGCUCAGUUCGAUGUGGUAUCCCGAAGGAAGGGAGCCUCGCUACUAUUGGGAUAAGGAGCCGCUUGGUGACGAGACCCUGGUGGGGAUCGAGGCAGUUGUCCCUACCAGUGGAGGAGACCCUGCUUGGGGCGGUUGGGUGUACGAGUCCCGAGGUGUCACGCCUUUCCACGGUGCCAGCAGGGCAGCUUUCGCAGUUUUGAGGGACCUCAUGGAGAGGUUUCCACAGGAGCUGGCCCACACCUUCGCUGGGGUGUUUCCCCGGGGUGACCCUUACACUUCGGUGUGGGAUCAGUCCGAGGUGAAUGCUCUAGAGAGGAGUGCGGAUGAGGACCCGCACAGUGACAGUGCAGCUAUGAGUGCCAUGUACGCGUUGAUGAAGACCUAUGGAGGCCUGGAGCGUUGUUUGGGUCGCUUGUCCGGGUCUCUUCUCACCGUCCAGGAUGAGAAGCGUCAGUUGCAGCGUGAGUUUGACUCUGAGGUUGAGAGGCUACAGGCAGAGUUGGCUCGUGUGACCUGAGAGAGAGACCAGGCAGUCCAGAAGAACAGUGAGCUGAGUCAGGACCUGCUUGCAGUGCGAGAGCAGAAGGACAGGGUGACUACUGCUCACAGGAACUGCGAGCGCAUGCUAGUCCAUCUGCUUGGACAGAGGAAUGAAGCCUGGCACGAGGAGGACACUUUGAGGGCCCGACAGCUAGAGCUAGAGCAGCAGCUAGCUAAUGCUGAGGAGUACAAUGAAAACUUGCAUGAGGAGAUCCACCAGCUGCAUAACCAGCUCCACCCUCACCACCUGCCUGGAGCAGCGGAGCUAGACUCUGAGGACGAGAUGGACGUGGAUCCCGAGAUAGGAGCAGCUGCUAGUGGUGAUGAAGAUGAGGAUGGCUCCGGCAUGGACAGUGACCACAGCGAGUAGAUGCUAGGGCUCUAGAGCUAGUCUUUCCUCUUUUGUGAUGUAUGUUGCAUGGCAUGUCAUGUACUUUUGGAUCUGGGCUGUGUAAGACUUUAUGAGUUGAUGCUGAAAGUCCAGUGUAUGUAUGCUGGCAAGUUGGAUGUACGCGAACCUUGUUGCGUGAAUGUUAAGUAAUCUGUUAGUGAUGUUGUGCGUGGAUGACGAGUUGUUGUGCCUUUGUUUAUUGUGUGAAUUUAUUCCCUCAAUAAAUUCAGUAUGGCACGAUUUUACACAUUUUCUACCGGUUGAUGGCAACUCCUAACGAUUGCUUAUCAUUGGCGUAUGCAGAUGGUGCAAACACGUGGCGGGGGUAACAGCAAUCCGGGUCUUGGAGCAGGUACAUCCGGAGAUGGGGCUCAACAGAAUGAGGACAGAGCACCAACACCGCCCCCACCACCGCCUCCCCCGUACAGGGGCCAGGGCUACUUUCAAUGCCUAUAUCAGUGACUGUCUGACCCAAGAGAACAAUAACAAUAACUACAGUGCAUCCAAGUCACGUAAAAGGGCUUUUGAAGCAGGAUCAUCCCAGUCCAGGGCACCAGUGGCAGGGCGACAACAGUAUCGUCCUCCUGCCCCGGGUGCUAAGUUCCGACCACCGCAGAGAAGGAACACCGGGCAUCCAACCCAGCAGAAGCCAUACAAGGUGGCGAUAGCUCCUGCCAAGCCAAAGGCAAUUCAAGCCGCAGCACCUGCCACCAACAAUGCGCCCAAGGGUCCGUGCUAUAACUGCCACAAGAUGGGGCACUUUGCUAAGGAAUGUCCCUACCCCAAAAGGCAGCAGCCAACCUAUCCAGCUCGUGUGCAUCAUACCUCGAUUGAGGAAAUCCCGGAAGGAGAACCGGUAACAGCUGGUAUGUUUUCUGUCAACCAACAUCUUGCAGUUGUUUUGUUUGAUUCUGGAUCAUCGCAUUCAUUCAUGAGCCAAGCAUUUGCACAAAAGCAUAAUCAACCAGUUACAGAUCUGGGCUAUGGCUACCGCAUCAGCUCAGCAGGGGCAGAUGUGUUGACCAAUAGAGUGGUCCGAGGGGCAACCCUGGAUAUAAGUGGCCGAGUUUUUCGGGUAAAUCUAGUGGUCAUGCCUGGGUUAGUUUUGGAUGUUAUCAUGGGCAUGAACUGGAUGAGAGAAUGGGAUGCUGUCAUAGAUACUGGAAAGAGGAUGUUAUCUCUCAGAGAACCACAGGGCAGUAACUCUUUUCAAGUACCUCUGCCCCGUCGUCUUGACUUUGCUAGCAUCUCCUGUGCUACGCACGUGGUCCCUUUACCACAGAUCCCAGUAGUCUGUGAGUUCCCUGAUGUGUUUCCCGAGGAGUUACCAGGACUUCCCCCAGAUAGGGAGGUAGAGUUUGCAAUCGAGUUGAUACCAGAUACAGCACCAAUAUCUAGAAGGCCGUACCGGAUGCCACCAAACGAACUCGCAGAGUUGAAGAAGCAACUGAAGGAGUUACUAGAAAAAGGGUUCAUCCGGCCCAGCUCGUCGGAAUGGGGUUAGCCAGCGUUGUUUGUGAAAAAGAAGGAUCAGUCGUUGCGCAUGUGCGUGGACUAUCGUCCACUCAAUGCAGUGACAAUCAAAAAUAAGUAUCCCUUGCCAAGGAUUGAUAUCCUGUUUGAUCAGUUAUCCAAGGCAAGAGUGUUUUCUAAGAUAGAUUUGAGAUCUGGGUAUCACCAAAUCAAGAUUCGUCCGCAAGAUAUCCCAAAGACUGCUUUUUCCACCAGGUAUGGGUUGUACGAGUAUCUUGUCAUGUCCUUUGGGUUGACAAAUGCUCCUGCAUACUUUAUGUAUCUGAUGAAUUCAGUCUUUAUGCCAGAAUUGGAUAAGUUUGUUGUAGUGUUUAUCGAUGAUAUCCUGGUGUAUUCAGAAAAUGAGCAAGAUCACGCCGAGCAUCUGAGAAUCGUGCUGACACGGUUACGAGAGCAUCAGUUAUAUGCCAAGUUCAGCAAGUGUGAGUUCUGGUUAAAGAAAGUUCCUUUCCUAGGGCACAUUCUGUCUGAAGAAGGAAUUGCUGUGGAUCCAUCAAAAGUGCAGGAAGUCAUGGACUGGAAGGCACCAACUUCGGUCUCGGAAGUUAGAAGUUUUCUUGGUCUGGCCGGGUAUUAUCGUCGUUUUAUACCUGACUUCUCCAAGAUUGCUAAGCCAAUGACAAGUUUGCUACAAAAGGACCAUAAGUUUGUCUGGACGGAAGGGUGUGAGUUAGCCUUCCGCACCUUGCGAAAGUUGCUAACCACUGCUCCCGUUCUGGCACAACCUAAUAUAGAGAAGCCUUUUGAUGUGUUUUGUGACGCAUCGAAGAGUGGCCUGGGGUGUGUGUUGAUGCAAGAUGGUAGGGUGAUAGCUUAUGCUUCCCGACAGUUGAGAAAGCAUGAAGUCAACUAUCCAACGCACGACCUUGAGUUAGCAGCCGUGGUACAUGCUUUGAAGAUCUAGAGACAUUAUCUGCUAGGAAAUAAGUGUCACAUUUACACCGAUCACAAGAGUUUGAAGUACAUCUUUACUCAGUCCGAGCUGAAUAUGAGGCAACGACGGUGGUUAGAGCUAAUCAAGGAUUAUGACCUGGAAGUUCACUAUCAUCCAGGCAAAGCUAAUGUGGUCGCAGAUGCUUUGAGUCGCAAACUACACUAUCAAAUGGUUCAACCGUUGUUUGAAGAUGGGUUCAAUCUUAUGCAUCCUGAGGUCUUAUGUCAUAUACAACUCAGUUGUUCACUCGAGAGUCAAGUCAUUAAAGGUCAGAAAACAGACAAGGGUAUUUUCCACAUCAAAGAGAAGAUCAAAGAUGACCCAAAGACUCAGUUUCGGGUUGAUGAGAAGAGGGUACUGUGGUUUCAACAGCGGUUAGUGGUCCCGAAAGAUCGGGAGUUGAAGAAUCGCAUCAUGGAUGAAGCUCAUCUCUCUAAGCUUUCUAUUCAUCCUGGCAGUAGCAAAAUGUAUCAAGAUCUAAGGCCCCACUUUUGGUGGACCAAGAUGAAGAAAGAAAUAGCCGCUUACGUGGCCCGUUGUGACACGUGUUGCAGAGUUAAGGCCAUCCAUAUGAAACCUGCAGGUCUGUUACAACCGUUAUCAGUUCCGGAGUGGAAAUGGGAAGAGGUCAGUAUGGACUUUGUCACCGGCUUACCGACAACCAGGAAGGGGAAUGACUCAAUUUGGGUAAUCAUAGAUCGAUUAACCAAGUCGGCUCAUUUCAUUCCAGUCAAGAACACAUACAGACCUCCCGAGUAUGCUGAUAUAUAUAUGGCUGAGAUCGUCAAGUUGCAUGGUAUCCCCAAAACCAUCAUAUCGGAUAGAGGACCGCAGUUCACCGCUCACUUCUGGGAGCGCAUGCAUAAGAGUUUGGGGACCAGUCUGAUAAGAAGCACGGCAUACCAUCCCCAGACUUCAGGCCAAACUGAAAGGCUAAAUCAAGUGUUAGAAGAUAUGCUGAGGGCCUGUGUGUUAUCAUCCAAAGGAUCGUGGGAAUCGUGGUUACCUUUGGCUGAGUUCUCCUACAAUAAUAGUUAUCAAGAGAGCAUCAAGAUGGCCCCGUUCGAAGCUUUGUAUGGUCGAAGAUGUAGAACUCCGUUAAACUGGGUGGAACCUGGGGAAAGAAGAUACUAUGGUAUCGACUUUGUGAAUGAUGCCGAGAAAAAGGUGCAGAUUAUACAGCAACAUAUGCAAGCAGCGCAAUCACGGCAGAAGAGUUAUGCUGACAAGAGGAGAAGGCCGCUUGAGUUCAAAGUAGGCGACUAUGUGUAUCUCAAGGUUACGCCAAUGAAGAAAGUUCAACGUUUCCGAGUUCGAAGCAAGCUUGCACCCAAAUAUGUGGGACCAUACCAAGUGCUAGAAAGGAAAGGCCCAGUGGCCUACAAGGUUCAGUUACCUGAGGAGAUGAGCUCGAUCUUUCCGGUCUUCCAUGUGUCGCAACUACGGAAAUGUUUGAAGGUGCCAGAGCAAAGAAUCGAACAUCGAGGAAUCAAGAUAAAAGCGGACUUGGAAUAUAAAGAGCAGCCAGUGGGAAUUGUGGAUACCAAGGAGCGAGUAACCCGAAACAGAGUUGUUCGAACAUACAAGGUGGUUUGGAGUCAUCAUGACGAUAGGGAUGCCACUUGGGAAACAGAGGAUUACUUAAAAACAGUUUAUCCAAAAUUUCACAAGAAAUGGUUAGUAACCCAAAAUCUCGGGACGAGAUUUCCCUAAGGGGGGAAGGGCUAUAACACCCUAGGUGUUAAGCAUGCACUUAGCCUUGGCAAAGCAAUGCAUAAGCAUCCUCAUCAAUCAUAAGCAUCAUGAGCAUGUCAUUCUUUUCAAGUAUGAUUUUAUGUGCAUCAUUUCAUGUGUUUUAAAUAUGUUAAAAAUAUGAUGCUUGCUUCUAAAAUUGUGAAAUAUUCAAAUUAGGUUGCUUUAUGUGUAAGAAGAAUUUAGAAUAUUUUUGUGCAAUUUUUGGAGCUAUGGAAUUUGAGAAAUAGAAUUUAUACAAAUUUUCCCAAAAUGAAUUUAUUUAAAACCUAGAACUGAGUUUUAACUUGUAAUUCAAAUUUUGUUUGGAAUUUGGUCUUGCUUGUCAAAGCAAAGUUGUAGAGUUUUUAAUUUGGAAUAACUUUGUUUUUGGGAGCAAGAGGUAAAAAUGAUUUAAAAUUGGUCCAAAUGAAUUUAGAAAGAAUUUGAGAAAAGAAAUUCAAAAAAAAAGGGAAAGGGGGCAGGCGCUGCUGGGCCGACCCGCCUCCCUUCUGGCCCAGCUGGACAGCGCGGCCCGCGACCCACUGUCAGUCGCAGGGGUACCCCGGUGGGUGUAGAUCUGGGUGUGCGUAGCCUUUUUCGUCGGUUUUCUUGAAAAAGUGUUUUCCAGAAAUUGAUUUAAAGUUUGUAAAAUCUAUAUCUUGAGUUCUACAGCUCCAAAUUGACUGAAAUAAAUUUUGGUGUGCUCUAUAUUUCCAGAUCUACAGUUUGAUGUAAUUGCAUGUCAUGUUGGAGUAACUUUUCUGUGUGAAUAUAUUUUAUCCAUGAUUUUGUUAAACUUGGAAAAUGCAUAGUAAAUAAAAUAUGGCUCAGAAAAAUGUGAAACUUGAUUUGUUGGCUUUGCAUGUGUGUUUGCUCACUGGGAAAAAGUGGGUACAUAUUAUUUGGUGUAUAAAUGAAUUUAUGGUAAUUUAAAUGCUUGCAUGGCAGUACUUUAUGAUUUUUAAUAAUUAAAUGGGUCAUGCAAUAAAUCUGGAAAAUUUUGUGGGUGUUUCUUAUGAUAUUAUGCAAAUUGUAAAAAUAUGAAAUCUGUUGUUUAACACUUGUAUCCCAGUAGAGUGAUUUUACUUGCCUUAUUAAUUAAUCUUGUGAUUUUUGUGGCUCAAAAUAAGUAUCCAAAAAUCAUGAAAAAUUUACAGUAGACUUUAUGCUUAGCUAGUAGUCUCCUGUAAUUUUUGUGGAAUUUAUUGAUGAACAGAAUUGCAUUUGAUUUUUAAUGGGCUUAGAAAUGAAUAAAGAAAAUUAUGAAUGGUUGUGUAUGUAGGUUGAAUGAAAUAAGUUGGGUUUGGUGUAUCUUUGAAGCAUCAUGGGGGUUGCUGGUUGCAUUUAAAAAAUAUCUGUAGAAGAGAAUGCAACAGAUGCUCAAUUUAGUUAUUGUUCCCGGAUGAUGUUGACUACCUUGUAAUAAGCAUGACCCAGUGCAUCACCUAUGCAUCAUAACAUGACUCCUUUGACACUCUCUCUUACAAGCAUCCACUCGGGCAUCUCACACUCCACUCAUGAGCAUAUAUGCAUCAUACAGGCUCGCAGGAGAACGAAGUGGGACCCGAGGAACCCGAGGAGAUACAGGAGCAGGAACCUCCGGAAGCAUAGGAACCCGGAGAGGAAUUUCAAGAGUGUCCGGAUCACCGACCCAGCACGUUUGAGAAAGGCAAGCCCCGGAGCAUUCUAAGUCUCCCUAUUCUCGCUAACUUAUAUAAAGUGCUAUACUUGUUCUACUGUAUUGCAUAUUAAGUGAUAGGAGUUGCCUGAUACCGUUGCUGCAUGAGUACUCCUUGUUAUUCCUACUCAUUCAACUACCUUGUCCUAUGUAGAUAGGCACGGAGUCUAUGCUUAGCUUGCUUAGUUCGGUAGAAGUCGGGUGAUUCCCUGUCACCUGCGAGAUAUAGGUGGAUACCUGCUUGAUUAAGCAUUGGUUGCUCGGGGAAAAGAAUAACCAAGUGUGGAAUGAAUUUGGAGACCGGGCGGGGUCUUAUGGUGGGUUGACCAUGGUGCCCCUGCCUGUGUCGAUUAAGGACCGAUCGUUGACGGCCCUCUUGUCAUGUUGAACGCAUGCCCCACACUUAGCUGGAAGGAUAAGUCGUUCCGACCGCGAAGCCUGAACACUAUCCGGGCCGGGAAUCGAGCCGCCAUGCGCUGUAUUGGUGAUGGUUGAGGAGAACGACGAGGGCGCGGCGCGCAACCUUGGUAUACCCUGGAUACCUCGGUCGCCGGAACGGUCCUCGGGUACUAGCGGUGCCUGCCGAACCCGCGAAUUGGUCCUGGAUAGUGUAAUACGGUGAUCUGUAGCUCACUUGAUCAGUGAGUGUGGUUUGUGUGGGGAAUACCUCGCCAGCUGGUUAGAAAUCGAUUCGAAUCGCCAUCGCUCCUGGAUAGUGAGCACUUGACAUGAGCUUCGUCCUCGUAGUAAGGACUAUGAAACACUUGGGUUAUAAUGAUGAAUGGUUUAGGAAAUGCUUUAUGAGGUACUAUCAUAGUCUCAUACUUGCUUGUAAUAGCACAGGAGCAAACCUAGAUAAUAGGUAAUGAUACUUUCAACUUGAGCAAAUUAAAAGAAGAAAAGAUUUAGGUAGGUUAGGGUAAUAAAACCUUGCGGUCUUUGCAAAAUGGUUGUCAGCUACCCCACCAAAUAGCCUUCAUGAUCCUUGAUGAGUCUUUAUUUUAAGUUUAUGACGGGUAAGUCUAAUAGUGACCAUUUACGUAGUCGAGCCAUCACACUUAAGCCCAUAUAAUCCCGGUAGUCCGUGAAAUCUCGAAGGAUUUCAAACCACACAUCGCAUACAGCCAAGAUCGUAAUAAGUUUAGCGGCCGCCAUCCACAAGUACAUCCAGAUUACAACAUUCAUGAAACACAUCGGAGUACUUAAGUUAUUACAAACCAAGUUCUUCAAGUAGCGGAAGCUUCAUAGUUCGAAAUUACAACACACACGAUUAAGUCUGAUACAGUGCCAUAGUUCGGUCAUUCCCACAAAAGCAAAGGAAGAGACGGAGUGACCAUCGCCCUUGGUCUAGUCAUCACCCAUAGCUGGGUACAGACAGAGGAUGCAAUAACCAUAGUACAUUUGACCAUCUGCAAAACAACAUGGGAAUAGGACCCUGAGUACGAGAAGGUACUCAGCUAGACUUACCCGUCAUAAACUUAAAAUAAAGACUCAUCAAGGAUCAUGAAGGCUAUUUAGUGGGGUAGCUGACAACCAUUUUGCAAAGACCGCAAGGUUUUAUUACCCUAACCUACAUAAAUCUUUUCUUCUUUUAAUCUGCUCAAGUUGAAAGUAUCAUUACCUAUUAUCUAGGUUUGCUCCUGUGCUAUUACAAGCAAGUAUGAGACUAUGAUAGUACCUCAUCAUAGCAUUUCUUAAACCAUUCAUCAUUAUAACCCAAGUGUUCCAUAGUCCUUACUACGAGGAUGAAGCUCAUGUCAAGUGCUCACUAUCCAGGAGCGAUGGCGAUUCGAAUCGAUUUCUAACCAGCUGGCGAAUUUAUUCCCCACACAAACCACACUCACUGAUCAAGUGAGCUACAGGUCACCAUGUUGCACUAUCCAGGACCAAUUCGCGGGUUCGACAGGCACCGCCCGUACCCGAGGACCGUUCCGGCGACCGAGGUAUCCAAGGUAUACCAAGGUUGCGCGCCGCGCCCUCGUCGUUCUCCUCAACCAUCACCAAUACAGCGCGUACAUCGGGCCGAUUCCCGGCCCGGAUAGUGCUCAGGCUUCGCGGUCGGAACGACUUAUCCUUCCAGCUAAGUGUGGGGCAUGCGUUCAACAUGACAAGAGGGCCGUAAACGAUCGGUCCUUAAUCGACACAGGCAGGGGCACUAUGGUCAACCCACCAUAAGACCCUGCCCGGUCUCCAAAUUCAUUCCACAAUUGGUCAUCCUUUUCCCAAGCAACCAAUGCUUAAUCAAGCAGGUAUCCACCUAUAUCUCGCAGGUGACAGGAAAUCACCCGACUUCUACCGGACUAAGCAAGCUAAGCAUAGACUCCGCGCCUAUCUACAUAGGACAAGGUAGAUAAACGAGUAGGAAUAACAAGGAGUACAUAUGCAGCAACGGUAUCAGGCAACUCCUACCACUUAAAUGCAGUAGUAGAACAAGUAUAGUGCAUCACAUAAGUUAGCGAGAAUAGGGAGACUUAGAAUGCUCCGGGGCUUGCCUUUCUCAAACGUGCUGGGUCGGUGAUCCGGACACUCCUGCAGUUCCUCUCCGGGUUCCGGUGCUUCCGGAGGUUCCUGCUCCUGAGUCUCCUCUGGCUCCUCGGGUCCCACCUCGUUCUCCUGCGAGCCUGUAUGAUGCAUGUGUGCUCAUGAGUGGAGUGUGAGAUGCCCGAAUGGAUGCUUGUAUGAGAAGGUACCAAAGGACCAUGUCAUGAUGCAUGGAUGAUACACUUGGUCAUGCUCAUCACAAGGUAUGCAACAUCAUCCAAGAACAGGCACUUGGAUUAAACAUCUAUUGCAUUCUCUUUUACAAUUAUUUUUCAAAUGCAAUCAGUAACCCACAGGAUGCUUCAAAGAUACACCAAACCCAACUUAUUCCAUUCAACCUAGAUAUGCAACCAUUCAUAAUUUUCUUUAUUCAUUUCUAGGCUCAUUAAAAUCACAUGCAAUUCUGUUCAUCAAUAAAUUCCAGAAAAAUUACAUGAGACUACUAGCUAAUCAUAAAGUCUACUGUAAAUUUUUCAUAAUUUUUUGGUUACUUAUUUUGAGCCACAAAAAUCACAAGAUUAAUUGAUAAGGUAAGUAAAAUCACUCUACUGUGAUAUAAGUGUCAAACAACAGAUUUCAUAUUUUUACAAUUUGUCUAACAUCAUAAGAAACACCCACAAAAUUUUCCAGAUUUAUUGCAUGACCCAUUUAAUUAUUAAAAAUCAUAAAGCACUGCCAUGCAAGCAUUUAAAUUACCAUAAAUUCAUUUAUUCAUCAAAUAAUAUGUACCCACAUUUUCCCAGUGAGCAAACACACAUGCAAAGCCAACAAAUCAAGUUUCACAUUUUUGUGAGCCAUAUUUUAUUUACUAUGCAUUUUCCAAGUUUAACAAAAUCAUGGAUAAAAUAUAUUCACACAGAAAAGUUACUCCAACAUGACAUGCAAUUACAUCAAACUGUAGAUCUGGAAAUGUAGAGGACACCAAAAUUUAUUUCAUUCAAUUUGGAGCUGUAGAACUCAAGAUAUAGAUUUUACAAACUUUAAAUCAAUUUCUAGAAAACACUUUUUCAAGAAAACCGACGAAAAAGGCUACGCACACCCAGAUCUACACCCACCGGGGUACCCCUGCGACUGACAGUGGGUCCCCGACCCCACCAGUCAGCGAGACCGAGAGGAAGCUCACCUCCGACGAGCGGAUUUCGCCGGCGGUGAGGUCUCCGGCCACGGGGUGAGCACCAACGUGCUCCCCGCAGCAAGACGCACCCAGCGGUACCCUUGGAUCGACCAGAGGACGGCCGGAACACCUCCGGCGAGCAUGCAUGGCGGCACGGCGGCGCUGCUCGCCGUGGCCAGGCUGCUCCGGCGCGGUAGAGCGUGCGCAAACUCCUCUCCGAGCUUCCUCACCUUCCUACCGACCUAGCGCAAUAGAGAACGAGCGAAAAGAGGCAAGGAAACGCUAGAUCCGUCGCGGCGGAGUACUCCGGCGAGCUCGGGGUAACUCUGGCGAGCGAUUCGCGGCGCUCGACGGACUCUCACCUCGGUAGAACGUUCGCACGAGCUUACCCUAGCGACGGCGAGUGCCCUGGUGCUCUCGGCGUCGAGCUUGAGGCUCUGGUGCGGCCGGCGACGAGCGGCGGAGCUCUCUCCGGCAAUGGCGCGCGGAGGAGCGGCUGCUGCUGCGCGGUGCGAGCGGAGGAGGAAGGAGAAGGAGGGCGCGGGGGAGACAGGAUGGAGGGAGUGGCCUAGGAGCCUGCGCCGGCGUCCCGACCAGGGGGUUGGAGGCCGGCCGCGGCGCGUCCAACGCCGGCGUACGGCCGCCACGUGGCCGGCGCCGGGUGGGGCAAGGCGGGCGCCGCGCGCGCGGGAGAGAGGGGAGGGGGAGCGGGCCGCGCUGCCCAGCUGGGCCAGAAGGGAGGCGGGUCGGCCCAGUAGCGCCUGCCCCCUUUCUCCUUUUUUUUUUUGAAAUUCUUUUCUCAAAUUCUUUCUAAAUUCAUUUGAGCCAAUUUAAAAUCAUUUUCACCUCUUGCUCCCAAAAACAAAGUUGUUUCAAAACAAAAACUCUACAACUUUGCUUUAACAAGCAAGACCAAAUUCCAAACAGAAUUUGAAUUACAAGUUAAAACUCAGUUCUAGGUUUUAAAUAAAUUCUUUUUGGAUAUUUUUGUAUAAAUUCCAUUUCUCAAUUUCCAUAGCUCCAAAAAUUGCACAAAAAUAUUCUAAAUUCUUCUUACACAUAAAGCAACCUAAUUUGAAUAUUUCACAAUUUUAGAAGCAAGCAUCAUAUUUUUAGCAUAUUUAAACUCAUGAAGUGAAGCACAUCAAAUCAUAAUUUGAGAAGAGUGUCAUGCUCAUGAUGCUUAUGCUUGAUGGGAAUGCUUAUGCAUGACUUUGAUGAGACUAAGUGCAUGCUUAACACCUAGGGUGUUACAACGUGUCCUUCAGGAAUCUCGCGUGUCAGAUUCUAACGGCUACCUGCAACACACCGGACGCUCUGCAAGUCCACACCGGACGGUCCGGUGCUCACCGGACUCGUGCGCAGAGAGGGUGUCAAACUCGCGACCUCACCGGACGCUGGGCACCGGACGGUCCGGUGCUCACCGGACUCGUGCGCAGAGAGGGUUGCAAAAACCCUCACACCGAACGCUAACCACCGUACGCUCUCAGAGUGCGUCCGGUGCUCCACCCUAGCAGGGUCAAGCAUACCGGACUCUGAGGCCAGCGUCCGGUGCCUCCGCACUCAGCGUCCGGUGAGUGUUUCUCAGUGAGAAAACACUCCCGCGACUUCACCAAAUUUCCUACCGGCGCAAUAGAAAAUAUACACUUAUUUUUCUCAAAUGCGCCGAAUCCCGCCGAGCUUGCGAACCCAAACCCCUCUCAACCCUAGGAACUCCACCUCCUUUGUAAAUGUGCUAACACCAACAAGUGUCCACCGCCAAAGUGCAUGUGUGUUAGCUUUUCACAAACAUUUUCACCAAAGGAGUUAAGUUAGCACUUUACUAGAUCCUAAUGCAUAUGCUCAAGAUAUGGACCUAGUAGCACUUGAUUCGAGAGAUGACCGUGAUUUUCCCUCUUGAUAGUCGGCUAUCUAUCCUAAACCCGGUCAAUCACUUCUCUACUCAUCUUAGACCGGUAAAAGUAAAACCCUAUGUUUAUACCUUUGCCUUGAUAACUUUUGCUCCUCGUCUAUCAUCAUGAUCUCCACAUCAAGCUUCAUCUCUUUAUAGUCAUGUGGCCACCUUUCCAUGCCGCCAUGCACCUUCAUCACAUGUGUUGCUAUGCCUAACUCACAUCACUUAGACAUAAGGCAUUAGCAACUUGGUGUCAUUAAUUACCAAAACCAAACUUGGGCUUUCAACCCUAUGUAGCCUUGGAAUAGCAGGACAUCGGGGUUGAGUAAAAGUCACUCCACUUUGCUGCAACGAGAGAGUUUGGAGCCUUGGUGGCACAUUCUUGUAUCGACAUCUGUCUCAGUGCAUUUUGUGGAAAGGCCCUCGAACUUUCUAGGAAUUAACCCACAGUCCAAAGUCGAACCAACAGCCUCGCUCGUCGCUCCCACACGCGCACAGGCAAUUUGGGUGGCGUUGAAAACCCUAGCCGCUGCCAUCUCCCCUCUUCGUCUAGCCACCGACAUCGCUUCACUCCGCUCCUCUCCACCUUGCUGUGUCGGACGAACGCACCCAAAUCUAUGGGGAGGUGGCAUUCAGCCAUGGCUACGUCGUGGUAGAUUGCAGCCUUGGUGGAGCCCUGCUCAAUGCUGUCGCUGGAAAAUGGGGAGCCACAUGAGGUCGCCGUCGUUCCUAGAGCGCUUCAUGUGUCCGCUCGGGCUCCUAUCGAGCGGAUCUGGCUGGAUCCACAUCUGGCAGGCCUCCACCGGCUUUGUCCACCACGGGACCUCCUGCGGCGCAUGUGCUCUCCUAAAGCUAUGGUAAAGAGAACUAUAAGCUCACCACACUAGAUUGUUCACGCAUGUCUGAUUAAGGGAACACAAUGCCUACUAAUUCAGUCGUACAUCGAAUUGGUUAAUCUAUAAUUUGAUUUUGAGAAUUUGUGUUUGUUUUCCGGGGAUUGCAGUUUGAUCUGGUCAAAUUUGGUGAUGGGAAAGCUAAUUCAUAAGGGGACUAGAUUCCAGUUUGGCUAAUCUGGUCUAUGACGAACUGCACUAGCAGAACGAGCGAACAAUGGAGUUGUGAAUAAAAACGUGAUGUUUUGUUCUGUUUCGUCAUUUUGUGGUAUGUUUUUAGGUUGAGAACCAAUUCAUUGUCUCUAUGUAUAUUCUGUUAGAAUGAAAUUGUUAUUAGUGUUUUUGGUGAAGUUUUAGCCUAUGAUCCCCUUGCAUGUAGUGUUCUACCAUGUUAUGGAUUACAGUUCAACACUACCUUAACUUACUUUUCUUGUAAGAGCAAUAGAAAAUUCAUCUAUGAUUCUGCGUAAGUCUGAAUAAGCUAUGAUAUUGCAAAAAAAACAUUGCCCUUUGUUUUGGAAAUUAUGUAUGUGCUCUACUUAUGAUUUGAAUCAAUUGUUGUCUCUUCUUGAUUUUAAUUUUAGGAUGGUAGAGGAAAAAGUGUAGUACAUUUGCACUCGAGUUUCACUAUAGUAACAUGAUUAGAAGAGUUUCUAUUGUCAUGCAAGUUUUUUUCAGAGUUACUGCUUACCUCAUUAGUGUUGUUUUCGAAUGUUCUAAUGUAUUCUUGAGGAAUGCCAUACCUAAUUAGAUCAAAAUAAAUUAGUUCCAGUCUAUCCUUAUAUGUCUUUAUUACUCUUUUCUUUGAUUCUAUGCACUGCACUCAGAGCUUGCAAGUUCAUAAAUUGAUAUACUAUGAAGUCCUGGAAACAUCUGACUCAGUUACAUUCAGAAAUGAUAGCCCAAUCUUCUUUUCGAAAAGCUUUAUUUUGGAAUACAAAUGCUUAAUACUGAUGUGUGCCAAAUAUACAAGGAGGGGAUGGCCAUGCAGAAUGUGCAUCACUAAUAGUUCCAAACAUGUAAUUAAUCUGAUUUGGUUGAUGAUAUGACUUCCUUUUUGUUAGUUUUUUUGCCUUCCAUCGGCAAUUAUAUGCCACCUUCAACCAAAGUGUUGCCUAAUGUAAAGGUCUUCAAGAUGUCUGAUGGUGUUUGUGCUUUAAUUUAUAUUCAGUUAUUAAGAUAGUCCAAGAUAUCUGAUGAAGUUAACGACUAGUUCUUUCAUUUCUGUGAAAUGAGUCCAUCAACUGAGGUGAAACUGCUUGCUCCAAAACACAAAUUAAUGUUUCUAUCUGACUUAAGUUUUUUUAGGAUUGUUGCACAUUGACAGUCUUAGGAUUGUUGCAUAUUGACAGUCAGCAAUAGUGUCGAAGGAGCACAAGAGGUAUGUUCAGGAGCUUGAGCAUAUGUUGCUUGGGGAAUGAGGACCCUAGGUGGAGGUGUCCAUGGCUAGGUCGCUGGAUACCAUGAUGUGUGAAUUUCCAUCGAAUUCAGUCAAAACACUUCUGAGUUAUGCGACUGUUGGGUAUUCUUAACGUCAUUGCCAAAAGUAGACUUAGUUUUCUAAUUCUGAUAACGGCGCCAAAAAUGCCAAACCUAUCCUUCAUACCACUUAAGCCAAGUUUUCAUCCCCAGCAUGUCAUGAGAGACGCGGUAUUGAAAUAUGCAAUUGCUCAUCUAAAUAAAUAAUGAAUGGGAUCUGCAAGCGCACAGAUUAAUACCGAUGUAGCAUUUUAACCGGGAAGUAUUCCAGGUAUCGUUAUUUAUACUUUUACCACUGGGAAGGGAUUAGUAACCAUCAAUGUUGAUUAUAGAAUGGAAUAUAAGAUUGAGUAUCUAUCAUUGCAUGUAUAAUUGAGAACAUUUAUCUACCUCUUUCAUACAGGGAUAAGUGUCACAUAAAGGAUAUAUAAAGUAAUGAAUAGUGAUAAAGAUAAUUAAUCUGAUCAGCAUAACUUAGCCACAUAUGAAUAUGAUAAGCACCUCAAUUAGAUAUUCCAACAAGUCAUUAGCAUGGAAUUAGGAUGAACUACAAGAAUAUUUUCUAAGUUAUUCUCAACUAUAUAGUCUAGUAUAUCAUAGUUAGUGCAAUUAUACUUAUCAAUCAUUGCGAGAAAGGACUACGCCCAUGCAUAGUGAUGUUAGCAAGGAAUAUGAGAAACAUCGUAGUCACUCCCCUGUAAUAAUGUUGCUCUGCCAGCCCAAUACACGAGAGGGGGACUAUAUAAGAAUCAAUGGAGCUGUCACUACCACGAACUACCCCACGAUCUGGCAUAUUGGGUACAAUCGCAGAUAAAUAUGGUAUAAGCACCAUGCCUACACAAUAUCUAUCAAUUACCCAUGGAUCCGAUGGAUAAACGCUAUACGAUCCUAAACAUGUAUAUAAUUCCAAUCUAACUAAGCCAAGUAUAUAACUAGGAUAAACUAAGAACAAUAUAAUUACGAAUAUAAACAAGUAGAGCAAAGUCAUAAGCAAUAUAUUGAAGUAGAACAAAGUCAUAUUCAUAAUAUUGAAGAACAAAGAUGAACAAUUGAAGAACAAUAGAGAAUUACCAAGAAUCCUCUUGACAGAUCUGGAAACCAAUCGAAGAUUGACUCCUUCUAGUUCUAAUCCUAUGUAGCUUUGCUAAUCUAGAUGUCUAAAUGAUGUGGUGGCUCUAGGCUUGAUCAGAGGCUUCUUCUCCCUUGAUGAAUAAUGAAUUAGGGUUGAGAGGCUCCCUCCUCUAGGGGCCAGGGGGGUCUGGUUUUAUAGUCCUUCCAAGUGAAUAUGGGCCGUCGGAUCAAACCGACAUUGAUUGAAUGGUUAUCCUUGAUCCUUUAGGUCAGUGGAGCUUGAUCCUGAAAGAGAGUCCUGAUUGGACUCCAGAGGUGGGCGGGCGCCCUAGGCCAGGCCCCGUUCUGCCUCCGCUUCGUACUCGUGGCUUCUGGAGUCUUCUAGAUGUAAGAUAAUUGCGUGGCACGUUAAUAUCUCUAUGUAAUCCCGACGUGUGGGCCUUUCUUUCGUAUUUCCUAAUAACCCCCUGCAGAAAUAGACAAACACCAAAACUCAUGGAAUUCUGUCAAAUAAAACCCUAAGUCUAGAUGUUGAUUUCAUUUAGAUCCUUUUCUUUGUUUAUUUGAUAAUUAAAUUUGAUACUUAAGGACCGUCAACAAACUCCCCCAAGCUUACCUCUUGCUCGUCUGUCACACCCAUAUUUUAAGAACAAAAUAGGAUGCAUAAAAGACUCAUAUGUGCCCCAGAAACAGUCGCACACAUAAGUAGACAAAUCUCAAAUGUACCAUCGCAGUGUUUAUUACAUAGCGGAAUAUAAAAUAUCACAUAGUCUCAUACAAAAAUGAUAGCAUAAAGUAAACAACGCUCUCGACGGAAGCUCCACACAGGGACACUGUUGACUGGUUGACUCCAAACCUAGUACUCAUACCGAUAAUCCUCAUUCCAGUCAUCUUCAUUAUCAUACCCUGAGGUGUUGGGAGAUUGCAAGAGUGAGCACAUAUCGUACUCAACAAGUAUAACCAGGGGUUCAUGAGGCUCAAAUAGCUGACACUGGUUUGACUGCAAUUAGCUUUUAAUAGUGGAUAGCAUGUUCAUAAUUAAUGAGCAAUUGUCAAGGAAGCAUAAAUAAUCCAUUAAUCCCAUGAUCAAAUGUAAGCAUAGUUAAUCUCAUAGCAUAAAUGAUAAUCAAAUGAACAUAAUAACAUAACAAGCUCAUCAUCUUAAUGUAGAUGUCCCCAAGGCCGCUCCUGACCGUGAGCUCGGCUAGUAUACCAGUUUUACACUCUGCAGAGGUUGUACAUCUUUACCCAUGAGUCAUGAUUUACCCUUUCGCCCGAGGUAGCUAAUCUCUUAACCCCCUUCCCAGGGAGGUCGGCAGGGAUCACUAUGAAGCCUUUCAAAAGUUCGUCUAACAAGUUAGGGCCGCAAGGUUUCCUUUGCGCGCAGAUAUAGAGCCCCCCUUCCGAUGGCACAAUGACUCGCAGCCUAUACUCAUACAGACAGAGGCCACACUAUACCCAAAACGGUUCAGCCCCUCCGCCCUCUCGGGUAACCGCUAACAAGCUAGAAAAGGGCUUCAUACUGAGCUAAAGCCAGAGCCAUAAUAGCCCUCAUGGUUGCACUGUUAUCCCGGGUGAUCACGUACAGACAAGAUCUCAUACAGUUAUUUGUCAUUCUUUUAUGUUCAUUGCAUAGCUAUUAAUCAUCUUACAAGAUCAUGGAUUAUAUCAAGCACUAGCACAUCUACACCAAAUGCAUAUCAAGUAGGUAGCAAGGAAUACAGGUAACAAUCAUCUAUGAUUUUGCUAAGGUCGACAAGGUGAUAGCAUGCAUAUGAUAUAUAUAUAUGUAUCUAUAAGUGAAUAGGUAACAAGGAUGAUCCCAAGUUAUACUUGCCUUGCUCAAAGCUCUCCUGAGCCUGCUGGUCCUCAAAAGCUUGGUCUUGGUCACCAACGUACGGCUCACCGUCUAAUCCCAAUCAUCAAACAACAACACGCAAAUCCAAUGUAGACAAUCAUACACGAAGCAAACAAGAUAUAAUUAGAACAAUACACCAAACAGUGGUAAAACAAAUAUAAAAGUUUAUCAAAAUAUUCUACGCAGCGCUACGAUCACACAAACGUAAAGUUCACGAAAAUCGGAAUUAAAACGUGAAAGAUAUGAAUUUUCUAAGAUUUCCUAUAGCGAAAUAAUCAAUUAAAUAGUACUGCAGAAUUAAAAAGUUUCCAAACAGUAAACUAAUAUUUCUAACGUGUAGAGAUCGUAAAUACGAAACCAAUGGAAUUUGAAUGGACAAAAACGGAGUUAAAAUGAUCAUUUUAUAAGCAUUAUAAAUUCAGUGGCAAAACUGUAAAUAUUAGAAACAUAAUCUGAGCUGAACCGAUCCUGAAUACGCUUUCAAACUCAGAAAGCGUAAUCCAUCAAAGGCGCUAAGGGCUGCGGGUGGAUUCCUGGAAAGUCCCAGGGACUCUUUAGCAAAAUAUACGCCGAACCGGUAUCUUCUAAUCCUGGCCUUGGAUUCUCCAUCGGACGGCUGACGAUCGCCAGGGGGAAAACAGCGGCGGCCGGCCGCCUGAGCACAGGAACGGCGCGGCGGCGCCAUGGACAGGCUCAUCGGAGCUCUCGGUUUUCCCGCUCCCGAGCACCAAAAUGCGAAAGAACAACUCCGGGAGGUCGAGGGGGAGGAGGCGAACCCACCUAGGCGGUUUGCUCGAGCCGAGAGAGGGCGAGGAGGGUGUGCCACGGCGGCGGAUGAAACUUCGCUCGGCGAGAUCCGAAACGCAAUACUCGAGGCGGCUAGGGCUUGGAAAAACGCUCGGGUGGAAAAAAACAAGGCACGGGGCGUCACGGGGAACUAUAUAGGGGUUUGAUUCGCGCCAAACGGCAAGAAAUCACGGCCCCAAGAUCCGGUUUGGCGUGGAGUUUGUGUCCAGCUCGAGCACGGCUGGGGGAGGGAGACGGCGCUGACGCGCGGGUCCCGCGUCGCAGUGAGAAGGGCGGGGAGGGAAGCUGGGCCGCUCGCUGGGCCGACGCAAGGGGACAGGGCGCGCGCGGCCUGGCCUGCUGCUGGGCUGUGAGCGCUGGGGAAAGUGGGCCGAGCGCGAUGCGGGAGAACAGGCCGGGGGGAAACCGCUGGGCUUCGGCCACUGGCCCAGGCCGAGGUCAGUGGUGUGCAUUUUUUUUUUCUUUUUUUUUUCCAAAGUCUUUUCUAAAUAGAGUUUUGAAUGUAAUUAAAUUUUAGCCAAGGUAAAUCAACACAAAGUAAAAUAUGAUCCAGCAUGAAUGCACAGUCAAGGUUACUAAACCUAUGAUAAAUUUUAUGUCAACAAGAUUAUUCAUUCACUAAAUUAAAUACCCACAAAAAUACUUAAUUAAAUCAAAUUAAAUCCUAUUAAUUCAAAAUCAAAUUUUGGGUGUUACAAACUCUACCCCCCUUAAAAUAAUCUCGUCCUCGAGAUUGAACGGUGCUUACUCGAACAGAUAUGAGUAUGACUUCCUCAGAUCAUCCUCUCUUUCCCAAGUUGCCUCUGCUUCCGAAUGCCGAUUCCACAGUACUUUGCACAUUCUGAUGACCCGACUUCUAGUGACUCUCUCCGCUGUCUCCAAUAUUUUGAUCGGAUACUCUUCAUAAGUGAGGUCACCUUUAACAGAGAGUUCUUCCAACGGUAGUUGCUCCUCAGGUACACGCAAACACUUCUUAAGUUGUGACACAUGGAACACAUCGUGCACACCAGACAAACUUUCAGGCAAUUCCAACCGAUAUGCUACUUCUCCACGCCUUUCUAAUACUUUAAACGGACCAACAUACCUUGGAGCUAGCUUUCCCUUCAUAUUGAACCUCUUCACACUUCGCAUAGGCGACACUUUCAGAUAGACAUAAUCACCCACUUCAAAAGCCAGCUCUCUCCUACGCGUAUCUGCAUAGCUUUUCUGACGAGAUUGAGCAAUUCUCAAGUUAUCCCGAAUAGUCCGCACUUGUUGUUCUGCAUGUCUAAGCACAUCUGUCCCAAACACCUGAGUCUCUCCCGUCUGAUUCCAAAACAAAGGUGUCCUGCACUUCCGACCAUAUAGGGCCUCGAACGGUGCCAUCUUAAGACUUUGCUGAUAGCUGUUGUUGUAGGAGAAUUCUGCAUAUGGCAAACUCUUGUCCCAACUAGCCCCAUACUACAAAGCACAAGCUCUCAACAUAUCCUCCAAUAUCUGGUUGAUCCUCUCAGUCUGUCCAUCUGUCUGUGGAUGAUAUGCUGUGCUGAAAUUCAACUUAGUUCCCAAUGAAUCAUGCACUGCUUUCCAAAAGUGAGAUGUGAAUUGAGUACCCCUAUCUGACACAAUCUUCUUAGGUACCCCAUGCAAACAAACAAUUCUCUCCAUAUACAGCUCAGCUAGGCGUUCUCCAGUGUACUUAGUUUUAACAGGUAUGAAAUGAGCCACUUUAGUCAAACGAUCUACUAUCACCCAUAUUGAGUCAUACCCUCUCUGUGUUCGUGGUAAACCCACUAUGAAAUCCAUACCCACUUCUUCCCACUUCCAUUCCGGAAUCUUCAUUGGUUGCAACAGUCCAGCUGGCCUCUGAUGUUCAGCUUUUACUCGCUGACAAGUAUCACACAAAGCAACAUACUCCGCUACAUCUCUCUUUAAACCAUACCACCAGUAUUUUUGUCUCAGAUCUAGAUACAUCUUAGUGCUCCCAGGGUGAAUGGAAUAUGCUGACUCAUGAGCCUCUCUCAGGAUCAUAUCUCGUAUGGCCUUUACUUCCGGAACACAUAUCCUUUUUCCAAACCACAAUACACCAUUGUCAUCUAUUCUGAAUCCUGGUGCUUUGCCUAGUACCACAUUCUGUGCUAUCUCCUUUAGUUUCUCAUCUUCCAACUGUCCUUUCAAUAUCUCUUCCUCUAGGGUAGGAGUGAUCUCAAUUUCCAUAGCAUUUACUACAAUUCCCAAGUUCAAAUAUGCAAAUUCAGCACACAACUCCUCAGACUCAGGUGUCGCCCGAAGCUCAUUAGCAUAUUUCUUUCUGCUAAGUGCAUCAGCUACGACGUUCGCCUUUCCAGGAUGGUAAUGCACUUCCAAGUCAUAAUCCUUUAUUAGUUCCAACCAUCUUCGUUGCCUCAAAUUCAGAUCUGUCUGGGUGAAGAUGUACUUCAGACUCUUAUGAUCAGUGUAUAUGUCACUCUUAUGCCCAAUCAAAUAGUGUCUCCAAAUCUUCAAUGCAUGAACCACAGCUGCUAACUCCAAAUCAUGAGUAGGAUAAUUCAGUUCAUGUUUCCUCAACUGUCUAGAUGCAUAAGCAACAAAUCUACCUUCUUGCAUAAGAACACAACCCAAACCCAGACGAGAAGCAUCACAAUAGAUAGAGAAACUCUUACUCAGAUCUGGCAAAACCAACACAGGGGCAGUAGUCAAUCUCUUCUUGAACUCCUCAAAACUAGCUUGACACUUAUCAGACCACACAAACUUAGCAUUCUUCUCCAAUAGAGCAGUCAUAGGCUUUGCAAGUUUUGAGAACCCUUCAAUGAAUCUACGAUAGUAACCAGCUAAACCAAGAAAACUGCGAAUUUCACUUACAUCUGUAGGUGGUUUCCAAUUCAACACAUCUUUCACCUUACUAGGAUCCACUGCAAUACCACCAUUAGAGACAACAUGACCAAGAAAAGAAACUUCCUCUAACCAAAACUCACAUUUACUACGCUUAGCAUACAACUUAUGUUCUCUAAGUUUCUGUAAGACCAAUCUCAGAUGUUCAGCAUGUUCUUCCUUGGUUUUAGAGAAUACCAGAAUAUCAUCAAUAAAGACCACCACAAACUUAUCAAGAUACUCCAUAAAUACUUUAUUCAUCAUGUACAUAAAGUAAGCUGGUGCAUUGGUCAAACCAAAAGACAUAACUGUAUACUCAUAUAACCCAUACCUUGUUGUGAAAGCUGUCUUUGGUAUAUCUGAAUUCCGAAUCUUCAAUUGAUGAUAACCAGAACGCAGAUCAAUCUUAGAGAACACACAAGCACCUCUUAGCUGAUCAAAUAAGUCAUCAAUCCUAGGCAAUGGAUAUUUAUUCUUGAUAGUGACCUCAUUAAGUGACCGAUAAUCAACACACAUCCUCUGACUACCAUCCUUCUUAUCAACAAAGAUAACUGGUGCACCCCAUGGUGAUGAACUAGGACGAAUGAACCCUUUAUCUUGCAAUUCCUUAAUUUGUUUCUUAAGUUCUUCUAGUUCUUUAACCCCCAUUCUAUAUGGUCUUUUAGCUAUGGGUGCAGUACCAGGUAGUAAUUCAAUAAUAAAUUCAAUGUCUCGGUCAGGUGGCAUACCUGGCAAUUCAUCUGGAAAGACAUCCGAAAACUCAUCCACUACCAGAUUCGGAGGAUCAACAUCAUCCGUCAGUUGGUUCACUUUAGCUGUGAGUGGUGCUUGCAUUGUUACAUCAACACUGAUUCUUUCUCCCUUUGGUGUUGUCAGAGCCACUACUCUCUCUUUGCAAUUAAUAUUUGUCGCAUGUUGCUUCAUCCAAUCCAAACCCAAGAUCACAUCUAUGCCUGAGGUUCUCAUAACCAUGGGACUGAUAGGAAAAUCUACCCCCCUUAAAGAAAGACUUGCUGAGGGGCAACGUAAAGAAACUGGUAUAGUCCCACCCGGUGAAUUAACUAGCAUAGGUGUUUUCAUUGCAACUAGUGGAAGGCUAUGAACUCUAACAAAAGCUUGUGAUAUAAAAGUAUGCGAAGCUCCAGAAUCAAAUAAAACGGUAGCAGGGAUAGAGUUGAUGCUGAACGUACCCAUCAUAAUCUCUGGUCCCUCCUGAACUGUCUCCGUAGCCACAUUGUUCACUGUUACUGCAUAAGCAGUAGACUUCUGGUUGUUCUGCUUGUUAAACUUCUCAGGACAAUCGUAUGACAUAUGCCCUUCCUUUCCGCACUGGAAACACCUCGUAGGAGUGUUGGAAGCACUUCUUUUCAUGGGGGUAGCACCUGAAUUCCCGGUGCGAGGUGUUUGCUGACUAAACUGCUGCUGUCGAGGGUUACGUUGCUGGAAUGAAGGACGUUGGUUCCCACUCUGCGACUGAUUCUGGAAACGCUGGGGUUGCUGGUUACGGUUCCACUGACUAACUGGUCCCUGGAACCUCUGCGGAUGGCCUUGGUGAGAACUGAAACGCUGACGGUUGUUGCUCCCAGAUCCUUGUGCCAGCAUCCUUCUCUUCUUAUCCUGGCCCUUCCGCAUAUUAUCAAGCACGAUAGCACGAUUCACAAGAGCUUGAAAGGUAGGGUAAGUGUUUCCUGCCAACUGCAACCUGAGUUCAUAGUACAAGCCCUUCAUGAAUAGACGCUGCUUAUCAGCAUCUUCCCUGACAUCAUUCGGAGCAUAGCGAGCCAACUGUUCAAAGGUGUCAUGAUAUUCUGCUACAGUCAUGGAGCCCAUCCUGAGUGAUCUGAAUUCUUCUUGUUUGAGCUCCAUCACUCCUUCAUUUAUAUGUCGAGCUCUGAAGUCCCUACAGAAUUCCAGCCAUGUGACAGGAGAAGCAUUGUUGGGACGAGCAGCUUGAUAUGACUCCCACCAUGUUUGAGCUGCCCCCUGAAGCUGUCCAGAAGCAUACAACACCUUCUCCAAAUCAUUGCACUGUGCUAUGUUCAGUUGCCUCUCCACAGCACGUAACCAAUCAUCUGCCUCCAUGGGAUCAGCUGAGUGUGUAAAUACCGGAGGUCUUCCCUUCAUAAACUCUCCCCGCUUGUCCCUCACAUGAACAGGUGGUGGUGUUGGUGGGGGUUGUUGCUGCAGGUGCUGCAUGAAAACGUGCAUCAUCUGAUUUUGGGUUUGCAUGAGUUCCUCCACGGUGAUUGGGGCAUUGCCACCAUUGCCAUUGUCAUUGCCAUUGCCACGGCCCCUGCCUCUGCCUCUUCCCCUUGCUGCCAUCUGCAUUCCAAGGUACAUAAACACAUCUUAGUAACGUCCAAUAUGACAAUUACAAGAGUUAACGGAAUCUGAAAUUUUCUGGGUAACAUCCAACAUCAGCAGGUCGGAACAUCAGUCAUAUCUCGAGAUCCAGAAUUCAAAAGGAUACAUGCUGUACACCGUUGGAAAGAUAAAGAAAUUGUCUACAACUUUCAUUUAGAUCAUAUUACCAGAUUCCAACGUUAGUUUAAUCAAAAACUGUGUGCAACCGAAACUGUUCCAGAAUUCCAGACUGCGCAGAAACCUCAACUUUAAACAGUCAUAACUCACAUCUCAUAAUAGAUGAUAUGAUCAUUCUUGUGGCAUUGGAAAGAUAUGAAAGUCUACUUAUUCCCAGAAAAAUUUGAUGAACAUUGCACGAACAGAAUUUGAUUUAUUCCAGAAUCAUGGCAGACUGCUCCAGAAAACAGCAAAAGACAGAAACAGGAUAUGACCCCAAACUACUAUUUAUUCAUGUUCUUACUUAAGGUUCUUAAUUAGAGAACUUGUGGACAUGCCCACAAAUUCCCAGCACUCAUUACAAAAAUCCAAAUCACACAUAUUCAGAAUAACAAAUCAGCAAGCACACCAAGUUCACACCACACUAGCAAAAGACUCGAAAUAACUCGCAACUACUAACGUUACUAUUACAUAUGGGUUCUUUUUCUAUUCCUCGGGUGCAGCAUCCUUCAAGAUGGGUUCAACAUGCAGCCUCUUAUGAAGUUUGGGGCGGCCUAACUCCGCUCGGAGGUCAUCCGCUUCCCUUUGCUCUUUCUCCAGCAGCUUCCUCUCACGGUGUAGUUCAUUCUCCAACUCUAUCACCUUGAGUGUCAGCUCAUAAGUCAACUCCACUUGUGCUUGAAGCUUUGGUUGUGAAGCAUCUGCAACUUCUAUGGCCCAAGUCAUCUUCUCUGGUACAAAGCGAGGAUAGUGGUAUGUUGCAUUGUACUGAACAUCCUCAAAGCGUCUACCACGGUAAAAGAUCAAGGCCUGGUAAGCUGCAUCUGCCAUGCUCUCUCUCAUCGUGUCCCGGCUGAUUCGAGCGAUGUGUUUGGAUUCCACCUUUCGAAUCCCCUUGGUGGCAUCCAGUGUCUUGACUAUCAGCUCUGCAACCCAAAGUGAUCUCCUCAGCGGGUGUUUGUGCUCAGUGCAGUUAUACUCCAGUGUGGCUUGCAAAUCCGGGUAAUGGUGUUUCAAUGUUAACACCAAAUUCUCAUGGAAGAAGGCCUUGGGAUCUGCUUCUGGAAUCCACAGCUCAGUAGUCCAUCCCAUCCUUGCAUUAGCAGACUGUGGUGGAGGUGGAUCUUGCAUCUCCUCAUCCUCAGGCCCUUCCUCCUGAGCUUCCACCCUUGAUUCCUCGUCUUCCAGCUCAGGAACUCCAUCCACAUGCUGUCCUCCUAGGUUGAACAUGGCACGGUACUCCUCAGCAGCCAUGCGUGCAGCACUACGGGUACGGGGCGGCAUCUACAAAAAAGUUUUUAGACAUAGAUCAGAUGGAUGCAAUAAUUUCACAACAGAGCAAGAUAGAGAAGCAUAAACUUUUAGCAAUUAACAAGACCAUAGUGGGAAGCAUGAAGUAAGUAAAAUAAGGACCUAAAUUUUUUGACCCUUUGCUAACUAGGUUUGCGUCCUACAGUCAACAAAGCUUUGAUACCAAUUUGUCACACCCAUAUUUUAAGAACAAAAUAGGAUGCAUAAAAGACUCAUAUGUGCCCCAGAAACAGUCGCACACAUAAGUAGACAAAUCUCAAAUGUACCAUCGCAGUGUUUAUUACAUAGCGGAAUAUAAAAUAUCACAUAGUCUCAUACAAAAAUGAUAGCAUAAAGUAAACAACGCUCUCGACGGAAGCUCCACACAGGGACACUGUUGACUGGUUGACUCCAAACCUAGUACUCAUACCGAUAAUCCUCAUUCCAGUCAUCUUCAUUAUCAUACCCUGAGGUGUUGGGAGAUUGCAAGAGUGAGCACAUAUCGUACUCAACAAGUAUAACCAGGGGUUCAUGAGGCUCAAAUAGCUGACACUGGUUUGACUGCAAUUAGCUUUUAAUAGUGGAUAGCAUGUUCAUAAUUAAUGAGCAAUUGUCAAGGAAGCAUAAAUAAUCCAUUAAUCCCAUGAUCAAAUGUAAGCAUAGUUAAUCUCAUAGCAUAAACGAUAAUCAAAUGAACAUAAUAACAUAACAAGCUCAUCAUCUUAAUGUAGAUGUCCCCAAGGCCGCUCCUGACCGUGAGCUCGGCUAGUAUACCAGUUUUACACUCUGCAGAGGUUGUACAUCUUUACCCAUGAGUCAUGAUUUACCCUUUCGCCCGAGGUAGCUAAUCUCUUAACCCCCUUCCCAGGGAGGUCGGCAGGGAUCACUAUGAAGCCUUUCAAAAGUUCGUCUAACAAGUUAGGGCCGCAAGGUUUCCUUUGCGCGCAGAUAUAGAGCCCCCCUUCCGAUGGCACAAUGACUCGCAGCCUAUACUCAUACAGACAGAGGCCACACUAUACCCAAAACGGUUCAGCCCCUCCGCCCUCUCGGGUAACCGCUAACAAGCUAGAAAAGGGCUUCAUACUGAGCUAAAGCCAGAGCCAUAAUAGCCCUCAUGGUUGCACUGUUAUCCCGGGUGAUCACGUACAGACAAGAUCUCAUACAGUUAUUUGUCAUUCUUUUAUGUUCAUUGCAUAGCUAUUAAUCAUCUUACAAGAUCAUGGAUUAUAUCAAGCACUAGCACAUCUACACCAAAUGCAUAUCAAGUAGGUAGCAAGGAAUACAGGUAACAAUCAUCUAUGAUUUUGCUAAGGUCGACAAGGUGAUAGCAUGCAUAUGAUAUAUAUGUAUCUAUAAGUGAAUAGGUAACAAGGAUGAUCCCAAGUUAUACUUGCCUUGCUCAAAGCUCUCCUGAGCCUGCUGGUCCUCAAAAGCUUGGUCUUGGUCACCAACGUACGGCUCACCGUCUAAUCCCAAUCAUCAAACAACAACACGCAAAUCCAAUGUAGACAAUCAUACACGAAGCAAACAAGAUAUAAUUAGAACAAUACACCAAACAGUGGUAAAACAAAUAUAAAAGUUUAUCAAAAUAUUCUACGCAGCGCUACGAUCACACAAACGUAAAGUUCACGAAAAUCGGAAUUAAAACGUGAAAGAUAUGAAUUUUCUAAGAUUUCCUAUAGCGAAAUAAUCAAUUAAAUAGUACUGCAGAAUUAAAAAGUUUCCAAACAGUAAACUAAUAUUUCUAACGUGUAGAGAUCGUAAAUACGAAACCAAUGGAAUUUGAAUGGACAAAAACGGAGUUAAAAUGAUCAUUUUAUAAGCAUUAUAAAUUCAGUGGCAAAACUGUAAAUAUUAGAAACAUAAUCUGAGCUGAACCGAUCCUGAAUACGCUUUCAAACUCAGAAAGCGUAAUCCAUCAAAGGCGCUAAGGGCUGCGGGUGGAUUCCUGGAAAGUCCCAGGGACUCUUUAGCAAAAUAUACGCCGAACCGGUAUCUUCUAAUCCUGGCCUUGGAUUCUCCAUCGGACGGCUGACGAUCGCCAGGGGGAAAACAGCGGCGGCCGGCCGCCUGAGCACAGGAACGGCGCGGCGGCGCCAUGGAUAGGCUCAUCGGAGCUCUCGGUUUUCCCGCUCCCGAGCACCAAAACGCGAAAGAACAACUCCGGGAGGUCGAGGGGGAGGAGGCGAACCCACCUAGGCGGUUUGCUCGAGCCGAGAGAGGGCGAGGAGGGUGUGCCACGGCGGCGGAUGAAACUUCGCUCGGCGAGAUCCGAAACGCAAUACUCGAGGCGGCUAGGGCUUGGAAAAACGCUCGGGUGGAAAAAAACAAGGCACGGGGCGUCACGGGGAACUAUAUAGGGGUUUGAUUCGCGCCAAACGGCAAGAAAUCACGGCCCCAAGAUCCGGUUUGGCGUGGAGUUUGUGUCCAGCUCGAGCACGGCUGGGGGAGGGAGACGGCGCUGACGCGCGGGUCCCGCGUCGCAGUGAGAAGGGCGGGGAGGGAAGCUGGGCCGCUCGCUGGGCCGACGCAAGGGGACAGGGCGCGCGCGGCCUGGCCUGCUGCUGGGCUGUGAGCGCUGGGGAAAGUGGGCCGAGCGCGAUGCGGGAGAACAGGCCGGGGGGAAACCGCUGGGCUUCGGCCACUGGCCCAGGCCGAGGUCAGUGGUGUGCAUUUUUUUUUUCUUUUUUUUUUUCCAAAGUCUUUUCUAAAUAGAGUUUUGAAUGUAAUUAAAUUUUAGCCAAGGUAAAUCAACACAAAGUAAAAUAUGAUCCAGCAUGAAUGCACAGUCAAGGUUACUAAACCUAUGAUAAAUUUUAUGUCAACAAGAUUAUUCAUUCACUAAAUUAAAUACCCACAAAAAUACUUAAUUAAAUCAAAUUAAAUCCUAUUAAUUCAAAAUCAAAUUUUGGGUGUUACAUCGUCCCUGAGUAAUGAUAAUCUCAGCGAUGGAUCAUAAGUUGUUGUAAUGCCUUUAAAAAUUGACGGUACACAUGCUUUUUAAAUAAGAUCUCAUCUCUGAGUUAGAGUAAACUAUCAAGACUUAAAACUUACUUAUUUCACCUUUUACCAUGGGACUUGUAACCGUUACUUCCUUCUUGAGUAGUUAAAAGAUAGAACGGUCUAAUCAAGUGUCAUGUCUCUUAUUCUUGAUCAGCUAUAGCUCUAGAGUUUUUGCAGAUUUUCAAAUAAAACUCAAAGAUUCCUUGUAUGACUCUUUCAAAUCUCUCUUUUGUGGUAUUUCUGGAUCCUCACCAAGGCAGUGAUGCUACAUGCCUUCUCUCAAAAUAUGUGGUAUUUGUGGUAUAAGGCAUAGUGAUAUUGUCUUCUCUCUCACCCUACUCUAAUAGGGCUUUUGAUAUCUGGAGCUCAUAGGUGGGAAAUAAAGUAUACAUACUUACAAGACAAUUAUUGCAUAGUCAAACCAUAGAUCCAAAGAAACAAAUCAAUAAGUCAAAUCAAGAUGUGCAUGUGUGGCGAAUGAAUGGUGUAUGGUGAUGAUGGUGAUAACAAUGGUGAAAGUCUACUUUUGCUCUUUUGAGGGGAUACAUACCUUCCUUGCUUUUUGAAACUUUUUGGGAGAAUGAGAUGCUCUUCUUUUCUUUUUUUCUUUUCUCUCAGGUGGGUAUCUUGUACCCCUAAUUCUACUGUCGGACACUUGUCUAUUUUUACCUCUCGUCUCACUUUUUCUUUUCCUUCGAGGUUCCGGGCAUUUGCCCCUUUUUAUUUCCUCGUAUCUUUUUUUUAGAGCACUCAUCUCUUGAGAUAAUAUAGCAAGUGGUAGUAACAAGAUAACUUGAGCAUUUAUUUCACAGGAGAAAAACAGAAAUGUUUUUGGCCUUUCUCUCCCGGAUUAGGAGUAGAAUAUUUUUGGGUGGUUCUGGAGAUGGAAAUGAGUGGAUAUAUGUGGAUGGUACUUCCGGAGUAGAAGCAGCAUAUGUGAGUGAACGUGCAAGUGAAUCUUGAUUUAACCACAUGACAAGCUCCUAAGGGUCUACACAGCUUGACCACACUCAAUGCUCAUAAGCAGUAAAUAGUAAAUGUGUGGCUCAAAGUCUACCAAGCAUGUAUAUAUGGCUGUAGUAAGAAUUUAAACUCUCAUCAUACAGGAACUCAUCAUGUAAUAUUUUAAAGAUUUUAAAAGAUAGACUUCUCCAGAAUUCUAGCAUCUCUAGAAACAGAUAAACUGCAGCUCAACCUUCCCAUAUCGUAUCCGUUAACAACUUAGACUUCAGAUCAAGUUUUCUUCCCACAAGUUUAGGUUUAGAGCAAGCUUUAAAUUAUAACAGUUAUGUCUAAACUAGAGAGAAAACUCAAAUUUGAAAAUUAGGCAGAGCAACUAUUUAUUAUAUCCAUGCUAGAGUUUUAUUAAGAUUCAGUUUAGCAUAGCCAAUUUAUUUAUUUAUU